Molecule: long non-coding RNA, 56663 nt
Filed under: Manihot esculenta (cassava)
Lineage: Eukaryota; Viridiplantae; Streptophyta; Magnoliopsida; Malpighiales; Euphorbiaceae
Description: long non-coding RNA (MESC_LNC009368)
Source: RNAcentral
ACCCGUACCGACUUUUCUCUAAGGGAGGAUGGAACUUUAAUGUUUGGUGAUAGACUAUGUGUACCUAGAGUGGAAAGCUUGAAGAGAGAGAUUAUGGAGGAAGCCCAUUGUUCUGCUUACUCUAUGCAUCCAGGCAGUACAAAAAUGUACAGAGAUCUUAGAGAAAACUAUUGGUGGCCAGGUAUGAAGAAAGAAAUAGUUGACUUUGUGUCCACAUGCUUAGUUUGCCAACAGAUUAAAGCAGAACAUCAGCAUCCAACAGGGAAGCUGCAACCGCUCCCUAUUUCGGAAUGGAAGUGGGAACACAUUACUAUGGAUUUUGUUUCUGGAUUACCUCGUACUUCACAUGGACAUAAUGCAGUAUGGGUGAUAGUUGAUAGAUUAACCAAGUCAGCACACUUUUUGCCUGUCAGGAUGGAUUAUUCUUUAGACAAGUUAGCAGAGAUCUAUGUCAAUGAGAUUGUAAGACUUCAUGGUGCUCUAGUUUCUAUUGUUUCAGAUAGAGAUCCAAGAUUCACUUCUCGUUUUUGGCCUAGCUUGCAAAAUGCCUUAGGCACCAAGUUGAAGUUUAGCACUUCCUUCCACCCUCAAACUGAUGGUCAAUCAGAAAGAACUAUUCAGACCUUGGAGGAUAUGCUGAGAGCUUGUGUGAUGGAGUUUAAAGGAAGUUGGGAUAGGUAUGUGCAUUUAAUGGAGUUUUCUUAUAAUAAUAGUUAUCAUUCGAGUAUCGGUAUGGCUCCUUAUGAAGCUUUAUAUGGGAGAAGAUGCAGAAUGCCAUUGUGUUGGAAUGAGGUAGGGGAAAGACAAUUAGAAGGUCCAGAACUAGUACAACACACUACAGAUAAAAUUCAGAUGAUCAGAAGUAGAUUAAAAGCAGCACAAGACAGACAGAAGAGUUAUGCAGAUCUGAAGAGAAGGGAUAUUGAAUAUAAUGUUGGCGACAAGGUAUUUCUAAAGAUCUCACCAUGGAAAGGGGUUGUACGUUUUGGCAAACGUGGAAAAUUGAGUCCGCGAUUCAUAGGACCAUAUGAGAUUUUAGAGAGAAUUGGACCAGUUGCUUAUCAUUUAGCACUACCUCCAGAGCUAUCUCAGAUUCAUGAUGUCUUCCAUGUAUCUAUGUUAAGGAGAUACAGAAGUGACCCUUCCCACAUCCUCCAGAAACAGCCUAUCGAGUUGAGGGAAGAUUUAACAUAUGAAGAAGAGCCAGUAGAGAUCAUUGCCAGAGAAGAGAAGGUUUUAAGGAGCAAGAUAAUAUCCCUGGUUAAAGUUCGAUGGAGUAAUCAUUCUGCUAAAGAAGCUACCUGGGAAAAAGAAGAGAAUAUGCAAAUUCAAUUUCCACAUUUAUUCCCUUCACCAGGUAUGUAAAAUUUCGAGGACGAAAUUUCUUUUAGGAGGAGAGAAUUAUCGGGCCCUGGCCCAGCCCAUAAAAAAAAAAAAAAGAAAAAAGAAAUAUAGGGCAUUAAAGCUCUGGUUUCGGGAAUGUCCCAAAACAUUCCCGAAACCAAAGCAUGCUGUCUUCCUCCCUCGCGAAAUAGAGAAGAACCUCUGUUUAAAAAAAAAAAAAUUCCUCCUUAACUCAAAUCUCCUCCUUCUCAACCCAACCAACCCAUAAACUUCUAAGAUCCUUCAGCUAGAUCCUGAUUUAAACCUAUAUUCUGCUCAGAAAUUCAAUAAUUUCUUCCUGAGGCUCCAAAAUUGGGUAGGUGAGUUUUAUUCCUUUUAUUCAAAUUUUUACGAUAUAAUUUAUUUUCUUUUUUCUUUUAAUAGUUAUUUUGUGAUUUGAGGAUAAAAAUGGGUUAUGUUUUAGUUAGAUCCAAUCAAUGGGGUUAUAAAUUUCUUUUUGGAUUACUGAUUUUCAUAGGUUGAUUUAAAUAAUAUUUACAGCUUAUUGAGUAUUUUUGUUGAGUUUAGGUAUUUUUGGGAGGUCUAGCUAUGCCGAAAUACUACCCAAAUUUUCUUAAAAAUAUAUAUAAAAAUAUUUUAAAAUUUCGUAUUUUACGUUUUAUAUUAUUGUUCUAGAGCAUUUUUAUUAUUUGAUAUAUUAUUUUAUUUUCUUUUUAAUUCUAGGAGAGGAUCCAGCUUCCAGGAUAGAUAAUAGGGGUCCUCCUGCGACCUAGGCCUUUUGUCCCAAGUAUUCUGGUGAGUGGAUAAAUAUAUAAUAUUGAUAUUUUUUUUAAAUAUAUUUAUAUGUGUAAAUGUUACUUUGUUUAUUUAAAAUGGGAAAGGAUAAAGUUAAUUUAUAUUCCUUGAAUAAAUGGAAAUUGAAUUUAAAGCACAGCUGAAUAAAUAGCCGAUUACACUCUGUAUAUGCACCGAACAGAUAACACCUUGAUGACAGGUGAUUUAUUUUCAGCAUGAUAUAUAUUUAUACUGUCUUUGGGACAGCGCUCGAUAUACAGACAGCCUUUGAGGCGUAUGUCAGAUGGUCACCCUUUGGGGGUAGCUCUGCACAUGUGUAUGACCAGUAUUUUAUUUGCUCUUGGGCCAAAUUUGUCAUUAUAGAGCUUAAGAUGCCAGCAUUGCUCUCAGGCUGUCAUUAUUUUAUUAUACCUGAGAUGCCAGCAUUAUCUGCAGGGAACAUAUUAUGAGUGUAUGCGGAUUCUAUUUUUCACAGUUUAUUUUAUGUUGAUGGAAUUAAAUUGUAUUUAUUCAGCUGACUUAUUUUAGCUAAAUAUUUGGUACUAUUAAGUACCUAAACUUAUCUUUUCCCCUUUGUUAUUUAUUUAUCCGCUCACUGAGUAUAUUGUACUCACUCUUAUUUCUUUUAAUAUUUCAGUUCUUUUUUGGUGAUCCGCUCAGCAGUCCUCAUCUCCUAGUUUAUCCUUCCUUCCACAUCGUCCACUCAGAGUUUAGAGGAGGUCGGACCAAUCUUAGGUCUUUUGUUUUUUUUUUUUUUUGUAAUUUUGUUAGAUCAUGUAUAGAUUGUACAGCCCCAAUGAAGAAGGUUUUGUGUUGUUGUAAAUAUAUUAUGGAUUGACAAGUCCAACUAUCAGUUUUUCUCUUUUAUGUUUUAUAAUUUGGGAUUAUAGCAGGUUAUAUGUGUUUAUAUGUAUAAAUAUCAGGGGAAGUUCUGUCAGUUUUUCGGAUCAUAUUAGUCUCUACAGUUUUAAGUUUGGGUGUGACAAGUUUCAUCCUCAAUGAUUCCAGCAAGCACAGCACUAUCACACUUCAAGAACUCCACAAGCUGAAAAUUCACAUCCUAAUAGGAGAAAGAGAAAGAAUUAACCUAUAAAGACAGAAAAUUAGAAACCCGAUAAGCAAUGAUUCCCUUUCGCUCUAGGUUUCUGUAAAAGACGUACAUCACUAUAAUAGGAGAAAGAGAAAGAAUUAUAUAUUUCUUCAUUCAUUUGAAAUUCCUUUCCAGUUGGAAGCCGUUCAGAAACGUGAGAGGUACGUUCAUAAUCCACUGCCCUUCCUCUUAUUGGAUUAUUUUUAAUUAAUACCUUCUCCAUGUUAUAAUUUUUAUUUAUUUUUUAAUUAUCUUAAAAUUAUUAUUUAUAUUUUUUUCACUGUGAUAAUAUAUAAAUCGAUUAUUAUCACGUUAUAAUAAUAUUUCAUAAUUCAUAAUAUCAAAUUAUUAUGUAAUAAACAAUUUUUUUGAAAAGAAUUACAGGAUAAUGAUAUAGUUAGUAAUGAGAUAAUGAUGUGAAUAAUAUAUUUAUUAAAAAAAUAAUUUAUACAUAUUAAUAAAUAAAAAAUUAACCUUUACCAGUAUCAAUUGUAAAGAAGUGAAAAAGAUAAUUCACAUCUACACAAAAAAAAAAGUUGUUUCUGUGUUAAAUUAAAUUAAAUAUAUAUUCCACAUGCUCUUUGGAUAAAUUAUUUUUAUUUUAAAAUUUUGAUACUAUAAUAUCAAUUUUUUUAAUAAGAUUCUAAACUGUAUAUAUUAAAAGGGUUUAAAUUUUUAUUAGUAUUUAAAAUAAUUAUCUCAUUUAAAUUCUACAGAAUGAAUAUUAGCUACAAUUUUAAUAAGUUUGUAUAUUACUAAAGUAGAUAACUUUAAAAAAUAACCUAGUUAUAUACUUAUACUUUAAUUUCAAGUUGAAAUUAUUUUGGAAAAAUGGUAUAUUUUAUGAAUAAAAAGAAUUAUACUCUUAAUAAGAAUAAUAUAUUACUAUAACACUUGGUUAUUAGAGCAAUUUUUUUUAAUUUAAAAAACUUAACUUAUUUAACAAAUAUUUUUAAAAAUAGGUGUAUUUAUAAAAAAAUCUCAACUUUACGAGUUUUCAUAGUCUAAAUUUUUAAUUUUAAAUUAAAAAAUCUCAAUUUUUAAAUUUAUUGUAAUCAUAGUAUUUUUUUAAUUAAUUUUGAUCAUAUUUAAAUUAGCAAAUUAGCUCACAUAGUGUGUCUUUAUUUUUACCAUAUAAAUAAUUUAAUUAAUUUGAAUUAAAUUUUGAUUAAGAUUUUAAACUCUUAAUUAUCUAUAAUACUUAAUUAAAAUUUUUAUUUAAUUAUGAGAGAAUCAUAUAAUUUAGAAAUUUUAUGUAAUUAAGAGUUUAGAAUUUUAAUUAAGGUUUAAUUUUAGUUAAUUAAAUUGUUUAUGUGAUAAUAUAUGUAUGUGUAUGGUUAUACAAGGGGGAAAAAAGACUCCAGCCUGUUAACCAUGUCAUGAUUUUUAAUACAAUAAACUCAUUGAUCCUACAUUCACAACAAGUAAGGCAUUAUUUUCCUUUAUGAUUAAUUUAAUUUAAUUAAUAUAAAUUCAAUUAGGACAAAUAUUUUCAAAGCUUUAUCUUGAUAUACUAAAUGAUUUAAAUGUCAAAGUCAAAGUUUAGAAUAUUUUAAGAUAGGUUUUUUUUAAUAAACAUAUCUAAAAUCGUUUAUCUUCUAUAUUAAAAUUAUUUUUUUAAAUAAUUUCCGUACAUAAUUUAUUCUGAUUUAUUUUAAUAAUUAAAAAUAUAUAUAAUUUAUUUAAUAUAAUAAUAAUAAUGACGACGAUGAUAAUAUAUCUAAAGGAGUGUCACUCCUUAUUAUUGGAUAAACUUAUUUUAUAAUAAUUUUAUUACAUUUAUAUAAUUAUAAGAUCAUACUAAUUCAUUGUGCAAUAUAAAAGACAUGAGAAUUUUUUUGGGAUGACUUUGCAUUAAAUAAAAAAAUAUAUAUAUCUCAUUAAAUUUUGGCGUUUAAAUUCUUGUACUUAUUAGAUAAUUGUCUUUUAAUUAUUUAUAAGAAAAGAAAAUGAGGGGACCGUAAUUAAAAUUGAAGGAGAUGAAUAAUGGAGAUCACAGAUUCUGAGUUUAAGUUUAUAAAUUUAUAUAGAUAUAUGUGGUCGUGUUUAGAAUUCAAAACUCAACAUGAAGAGUCAAGCAUGAUUUUACCUUUCGUGGAUGUUCACAUCAUUUGUUUAAUUUUUAUAUCUAGUUAAGUCCACAGACAUGGAUGUUGUGACUUGUAUCGCUGGAAAAAUUGGAGAACUCUUGGUUGAGCCAAUCGGGAGACAGAUUGGCCAUUUUAUUCACUAUACAAGUAACACUGUGAAACUUCAGGAGCAAGUUAAAAUACUUGAAGGAGUGAGGGAUGACUUGCAGGUAUCUGUUGAUGCAGCAAAGAGGAAUGGUGAGGUGAUCAGAAAAGAGGUUCAGAAUUGGACAUCAAUGGUUGAUGGGAUUCUAUGAGAGGCUAACAAACUUCUUGGAAAGGCUUCCAAAGUAAGGUUUCAUAAUUUGGCUUCACGCUAUCAGAUAAGCAGGAAAGCAGAAGAGAAAACAAUGGAAAUUGAAAAACAGAAAAAUGAAGGCAAGUUUGAUAGAGUUUCCAAUCCUGCACCUCCGCCACCAUUAUUGUUUCCAUCUCAAGAAGAUAUUGUGAUUUUCGACAGCAGAGAACGACAAGUAGAGGAGAUUAUGGAGGCCUCGAAGGACAACAAAACCAACUUCAUUGGGAUAUACGGAAUGGGAGGGGUGGGUAAAACUACCCUGGUGAAACAAGUUGUUAAAAGGGCUCAACAAGACAGACUGUUUCCUACUAUUGCAAUGGUUGUGGUGUCACAAACCAUUGAUGUGAAAAAGAUUCAAGACCAGAUAGCAGAGAGUUUGGGUUUGAAAUUAGAUAAGGUUAACGAACAAAAUCGAGUAAGCCGGUUGCUGGCUAGAUUGAAGGAAGAGAACAAAGUGCUCAUUAUCUUGGAUGAUAUUUGGGCUAGACUCGAUCUUGCAACUGUGGGCAUUCCACUUGGCCAUGAUCAUGGAGGUUGCAAAAUUAUUGUCACAACACGUCGUAAACAAGUGUGUGACACUAUGGUCGACACAAGGAGUGAGACUGCAAAGGUCAUCCCUAUUAAUAUUUUAUCUGAAAAAGAAUCAUGGGUCUUGCUUAAAAAGAAUGCAGGCGCUGAGAUUGAGUCUCUGACUUUGAAUUCUUUUGCAAAAGAUAUUCUCAGAGAAUGUGGAGGCUUGCCUAUCGCUCUUGUAACAGUGGGAAGGGCAAUGAGAGGCAAAGAUCCUGAUGAAUGGCAAGAGGCAGUUAGAGAGCUAAGGAAAUCACAGCCAGAAACCAUUGAAGGGAUGGAUGAAGAUGUGUACAGAUGUCUUCAGUUCAGCUAUACUUACCUGAAAGAUAAGAAAGCCAAGAAAGUUUUCAAUUUAUGUUGUUUAUUUCCUGAGGAUUUUAACAUCCGUAUAGAAGACCUGGUAAGAUAUGGGUUUGGACUGAAAAUAUUUGAAGAUAUGAGAAUGGAGGAUGCAAGACGAAGUGCUCAUUCCAUCAUAAAAAAUCUCAAAGAUUCUUGUUUAUUAUUGGGAAGUGAUGAGGAAGGCUGCGUAAAAAUGCAUGAUGUCGUGCGUGAUGUUGCCUUAUCAAUGGCAUCAGAUUAUUUUGUUAGAGAUGGUGUCAAAAAGUUGGAGGAUUGGCCAGAUAUGGAAGAGAUGAAGCGUUAUACUGGCAUCUCAAUAAUGCAAAAUCAGGUUUCUAAAUUUCCCGAUGCUUGGGAUAGCCCAAAUCUAAAGAUAUUAUUGAUGGAUAUUGAAAAAACUAGUUUAGUUCAUUUUCGGGACAAGGCGAUGGACAUGCGAGCAACGGUCUUAACAGGGAUGAAAGCCCUUCAAGUUUUUCAUCGGAGAGAUAGUAGUAGGAAAGGUUAUAGAGCACUACAUUUUCGGUUCUUGGAACUAGAAUUUAGUCAAUUAACCAAUCUUCGGACGUUGAUGCUUCAGUAUUAUAAGAUUGUUGACACCACUCCAAUUGGGGAGCUGAAGAUGCUUGAAAUUCUCAGCUUGAAGAAUUGUGAGUUCCUAAAGCCAUUCAAUACAAUAGGGAAGUUGACUAAUCUAAGGUUACUGGAUGUGGAAUUUUCUUCUCUUCAUGUCGUCUCUUCUUCCAUAUUUCCAAUCAAUGCUAUGUCUACUCUGUCCCGAUUAGAAGAACUGUACUUCCUUUCUUUUGAUAUGUUAAGACCCACAAAGUACCCAUUUCUCCUUUCUCCAUUCCUUCAUAAUUUUCGAUCCUUCGAUGACUUGAACAUAACAGUUUUGAAAACCCUUUCUCGCUUGACCACCCUUACAACUCACAUUCAAACCAUUCCCGAAGGCUUUAUGUUCCCAGAUUUGAAGGUUUUCAAAAUUCAUUGGGGAAGCCGGAUAUGCAUUAGAGGAAAAGAAAAGCUGAUUAAUGCAUUUUUAUCUCAAGUUGAAGGAUUUAAUUAUUUGGGUCUUUGUGGUGAAUUCGGGGGCGGGAGUAAUAUCACAAUUUCAUCACUAGUUUGUAUGAAGCCAUUAAUGCCAAGAACAAAUUUUCUGUAUUUAGAUUCAGUUGAGGAGUUAAAGAACAUCAAUGCUUGCUCAUUAUUAGGUGGUUUAGAUGCUUUGAAGAUAAUAGUGAUUGUCAAUUGUCCUAGUUUCGCUUACUUGAUCAACGCUGAAGAGUUUCUUGGAAGGUAUGCUUUGUUGCCGGAACUGGAAGGACUGUGUUUUGAGGAUUUGGACACCUUCAAAGCAUUAUGCAAUGGUGAACUACCUUCUGGAACUUCCUUGUCCAUGAGGAAGCUCAAAUACUUGACCUUUUUUAGAUGUCCAGAAUUGUUGAAUAUUUUCACUUUACCCAAUCCACAGCAAGAAUUCGAUCAACUCCAAGUUGUUGAAGAGAAAGGCCCCACUGAGUUGUUGCAUCUGCCCAAGUUACAAAUCGUAUGCAUUAAUGGGUGCCAGAAAUUAAAAGUUAUAUUUCCUGUUUCUAUUGCUCAAGGACUAGAGCAGCUGAAAGAACUUGAAUUAGAAGAUUGUGAUGAAUUAGAAGCAAUUGUUGCAGAAAGGGAAGAAGAAGAAAAGAGGAUUGACAAAGUGGUGUUCUCUCAAUUAAUAAGGAUUAGGUUAUACAAGCUUUACAAUCUUAAAGCUUUUUGCAUGGAUAACUUACCUUUGAAAUGGCCAUCCUUGGAAGAGUUAUCUGUGGACUCUUGCCCUAAAAUGAAGACAUUUGCUGCUUCUAAUGGAAACCAGAUCACACCGAAGUUGAAGGAGAUCAAAAUAAAUACCAAUCACAUAAAGCUUGAAGGAACAAACUUAAACACAAUUAUGAAAUAUCACAAUAAAGAGGAGACAAAGAGGAGGUACGUACCGUUUUAUCAUUUGAAUUGUGUUUAAACCUAUAACACAGUGUUUGACCUUUCAUAUUUGUUUGUAUUUGUGAUUCAUGGAGUUGCAGAUCCAAACUAUGAACAACUGAAGAUGUGUCCAACGUUAGUAGGCAAGGCAAAUAAAAAAGAGAUAUACUGAUUGAAAAUAACUAAGCUGUUUUUGCAUUAAACUUUAAAGAAUUUCUAUUCUUACAUUUUUCUUAUAAUUAUUUUUUAUUUUUAUUUCAGGUGCAAGGUUUUUAAUCCUUACAUCAUUGCAGCAAGGAGGUGGCAAAUGGCAGCAUGGAGUACUUUAUAUUCAUAAGAUGUUCAAUGUUAGGCAUUGUUAUUUAUUACUUGUGAUGUCAAUAUUAUUUUCAUAAGUUUAGCAUAUCUUGCAUAGUAUCAUUAAAAAUGAAUUGACGGAUAAAUAUGUUAUAUUUUUUUAUUUAUUUUUGUGAAUUUCAAAUGUAAAAAUACAAGAGUACAAUAAUAAAUCUUAGCCUCUAUGAUUUUUAUUUAUGUUUUUAUUCACAGCUUUUUUAGAACUCUGAUUUUAUAUUAUGUGUAUAUAAAUAUAUAAAAUAGUAAGCCUUGACGAUAAAAAUCACAUCACAGAAUUUUAAAAUUUCUAAAAUUGUAUUUUUAUGUCAUAAAAAUAUAAAAAAUAAAUUAAAUAGUAAAAUAAUAAAUAAAAUUAAAUAAUAAUAAAAAUAAUAAAUUAAAAAUAAUGAAAGUUGAAAUUAGAGGUAGAAUGGCAUUUCCAUUCCUUUUGGGCUUUCCCAUGGAUUUUAACUUCCAAUUAGAUCUUAAAAAUAAAUGGGUUAGACUUAAGAAGGAAGAGGUGGUAGAAUGGGCUACUCACCUUAGCCAAUUCGGCCCACCCAAAGAAUAAUGUGUGAAUUUUGCAACUUUAGCUUUUAGGGAGACCCUUGGGUGGUUUAAUUAUGGAACAUUUUAAUUAAAAAUCAUUCUAAAAACCCAUAUAACAGCCGACCACAUUAAGAAGAGGAGAGAAUUUACCUAAAAACCCUAACAACCAAUCUUCUUCUCUCAAUAAAUCUUGGCGGCCCCCUUAUUUCCCUAACUCUCAAAUUCUCUUAAUUUUCUCUGAAUAAUUUAUAAGAAACCCUUCACUACUCUUCUUCUUCUCUUUUCCUUUCUAAAGGUAAUCUACUAAAAUAAAUCACAAUCAUAAUAUUAAAAUAUUUAAUUUUAAUAUAAAAGUUGAGAAUAAUACAAAUUAUGUGCCUGAAUCAAUAUGAGCAAUCAAUUCUGUUUAGAUUUUCCAUUUUGAUUGAAAAAAAUUAUGGCUCCCAAAAUAUUUAUUGAAUUGUUUAUGAAAUUCCCUUCCAUUUGCACAUAUUUUUUGCAUUUUUCUUACUUUUCUUGAAUAAAUUAUAGACCUUUAAAAUUAGAAAGAAGAUUUAGAAUUUUGAGUUUAAAAUCAAUUUUAAAAAAUAUACUAUAAAUUUUAUGUUUUGAGUCAUAGUGUCCUAUGAUUUAAAAUAUUGGUAAACAGAUUUUAAUAUGUAUUGUGAUAAACUUAAUGCAAUGGUAAUAUUUCAAAAAAUACAAAAAAAAUUUUGUUAUUUUCUUUUUUUCUCAUAUAUUUUAUGAUAUUCUUAUAAAAUUUCAUAUUUUUCUUAGCAUAUUUACUAUUUUUCCUCAAAUUUUAUAUUUUAAUGUUAUUGAAGAUUUUUCGAUAGGUCUAAUUUUAAUAUUUUUAUAUAACUGAUUAUUUUGUUAUUUUUUUUUUAUAUUUUGAUCUAUAAAAGACGUGGCCUCUUCAAGUUCAGCCUAAACUUAAAGUUUUUAUUUAGUAUUUACUUCAUAAUGCAGUUCUUGUAAUGCAUAAUUUAGUUUUACGUGGUAUUCAAACUUCUCCUAUGUGUCCAUUUUAUUUUACACAUGUUGAAACGUUGAUACAUGCUCUUUUUUUUAUCCUCAUGCUAGAGCUAUCUGAUUUUAGAGCCAUUAUACCUAUAAACCUGCACUUGUCGAUUUUUUGAGUUUUCCUAUUUGGUCUGCGAUCAAUUUAGGAUAAAGUCAGAUUGUGAUGCUGUUAUGCAACUUUAUUCUCUUACUUUGUGGCAUAUAUAGAAAGGCACAGAAUAAGGGAAUUUUUGAAUCUAUACUUCUAGAUCCUUUAACUACUUCAUCUUGCAUUAAUCUUAGCAUUAUGGAGUUUAGACAAUUUGAAAUUUUUGUUACUUUUUCAUUGUGCAGUUCUUCGCAUCAAUUUCGAAAUGAGAUUUGGUUACCUCCUCUUCAUGAGACUUUAAAAUAUAACACUGAUGUUGUUUGGAAAAGUCAAUUUUCUCUGACUGCUAUUUCUAUUGUAGUUCGCAAUAGUAAUAGUAUUUUAGUAGAUAGAGUAGCUAAAUGUAUUUGGAGUUAUUCUCCAUUAGCCGUGGAGGCUCGUGCAGUCCUUGAAACUUUUUUGUUAGGUUUAACUCGACAUUCUUGAUCAAUUAUUUAUAUCAUGGACUCAGAGAUCUUGUUUGCAGUGUUAACUAAUAUAACUUCCUUGUCACCUUUUAAUAUUGUGGCUACUAUUGCAACUAUUUGGUCUUUGUACUCUGUUAGGUGAUUUGUCUUCUGAAAUUAUACAUCAAAAGAGUAAUAGAGUUGCCGAAAUAGUUGCUAAAUUUUUUUUAAAAAACAUUGUCGUCUGGUUGAAUUGUAGCUAGCUCUCUAAAACUAGUCUCAUUUUUAUAAAUCUUAUUGCGUUUGUAGCUAUACAAUGCAUUACCAUGCAAAUAAAGAAAAAAAAAAUGAAAGCAGACAACUGUCGAAAUUUUUUUACUUCUUUUCUGUUGUUUUGGAUUUAAUUUCCUUUUGUUUUAAAUUUGAAUUAAUAGUUUAAUUGCUAUAAAUCUCUUUGUUCUAAUCAAUUCUUACUUUAUUUAAUUUAUUCUUGUCAUAUUUUAAUUCUUUGUAUGAUCUUAUUUGAAUGAUUUCUUUCCUUAUUUGAAUUAUUUUUUUCCACAUUUAUUUGAAUUAUAUCUUUACUUAUAUGAAUUAUUUUCUUUCCUUAAGAGGGUAUGGUAGAAGCCGAAUCAUAUACGAAGGUCUAUUAUAUAUUUUAAAAAUCCUUUACAAAGGAUGAUGGCCUAAAACCUUAUAAUAAUUUGAAUGUUAGUUAAUUUUUUUAGUUAAAUAAUAUUUAUUUUGGAUUUGUAAAUUUUUUUCUCCACUUUUUCUACCAUUAGCAUUAAUUCUUUUUUACACUCUAUUUCUUUAGCCCAGGAUUUUAUUGAUUCUAAUUAAUUAUUUUUUCCUUCUUUUUUUUUUUUAUGUUUUAAUUGAUGUACUUUACUUGAAAAUACAUGAAAUAAAAUUAGUAAAUGUAACGGUCAGCUGCCUGCUUGGCGGAAUUGCGGCGUUGACUGUCCAAAUCGGAAGAUGAUAAGGAAUUGAAAUUGAAUAUAAUAACUAGCACGAAACUACUAAAUAACUUGGGUUAACUAUUUUGGGCCAAGUGGAAAGUGGGUCCAAAAGUUAUAUGGGCCAGUUCGGGCCCGGCUGUUUCAAUUGGUAUCAGAGCCACCCUGGGUCAGAAAAAUUGUGCGGAGCUAGUGGGCCUGCGAGGAAAGGGCUACCCGUGAGAGACGAGGUGGAGCCGCCCGAGGUACUAGUGAACCACAAUACCUAAGGGUCCGGUCCUGGUUAGCAAUUGUAAUGGAUUCAGUUGCGACGAGGACGUCGCAAAAUUUAGCGGGACCGAGUGUAACGGUCAGCUGCUUGCUUGGCGGAAUUGCGGCGCUAACUGUCCCACAUCGGAAGAUGAUAAGGAAUUGAAAUUGAAUAUAAUAGCUAGCACGAAACUACUAAAUAACUUGGGUUAACCAUUUUGGGUUAAGUGGAAAGUGGGUCCAAAAGUUAUUUGGGCCAGUUCGGGCCCGGCUGUUUCAGUAAACUAAGUAACUCACUUGAUAAAUUCUAAAAAGCAAUUGUAUAUGAUAGAGACAUUAUUUUGCAUGCUUAGGGGUGAUCUACAUUUUGACAUGAAAAUAAUUAAUUAAUAAUGACCUUAAGGUAAAAUAACCAUAAAUUUGGGUUGAAAUACAUGCUUAGAAACCUAGUAAACCUUUUUUGCUAUGUGUACCAAAUAUAAAAUUUAGAAACUAUGCAUAUUUAAAUCUCUACUUUGGUGUAAAUUGAACCAUGACAUAAAGUGAGCAAAGAAACAUGACUAACUGGAGCAACUUGAUAAUUCCUCCAUCUAGAAAUUUUAAAUGUUUAGACUAAUAGAUAUGCAUGAAAUGGAUAUUUUGUAUAAUCAAUGUGUAUGUAAUAAGUAGAUUCCAUAUGUCUAAAAAGGAUUUCCCAAUAAAUGUAAUAAGACAUGAUAUAAGAAUUAGUGGAGGCAAUCUCUUAGAGCAAUUUGCUCAAUUAGGUCCUUUUGUUUGCCUCUGCUUUCAUCAGGGUGGCGACUCCUUUACUCUCCUUUUCACCGGUGCUAAAACAUCUAAAUCUCAUGGUGUCAUGAUGGAAAAGCGAGACCCUAACUACUAAUUAUAGAGAAUUUAUGAAUCCACAAGCUUCUUUUGGUCUUCUUUCUCUAUUAUUUCUUAUAGCUAUAUAAGGUCUCGGCCCAGGCCUAUUAAUUUUAAUAAAAAAAAAUGAAAAUGAGCAUUAAAGCUCUGGUUUCGGGAAUGUCCCGAAACAUUCCCGAAACCAAAGAACCCUUCUUCCUCGCGAGAAAAAAAAAGAGAGAACAGAGCUUUUGCUCUAUUAUUUUUUAAAAAAAAAAUUCCUCUUUUAAACCCAAAUCCACUCCCCUCAACCCAUAGACUUCUAACAUCAUUCAGCUAGAUCCUGAUUAAACCUAUAUCCUGCUAAGAAAUUCAAUAAUUCCUUCUAGAAGAUCCAAAAUUGGGUAGUGAGUUUUGUCCCUUUUAUUCAAAUUUUUACGAUAUAAUUUAUUUUCUCUACCUUUUAAUAGUGAUUUUUGUGUUUUGAGGAUAAAAAUGGGAUAUGUUUUAGUUAGAUCCAAUCAAUGGGGUUUUAUAUUUCUUUUUGGAUUAAUGAUUUUCUUAGGUUGAUUUAAAUAAUAUUUACAGCUUAUUGAGUAUUUUUGUUGAGUUUGGGUAUUUGUGGGAGGCCUAGCUAUGCCGAAAUACUGCCCAAAUUUUCUUAAAAAUAUAUAUAUAAAUAUUUUAAAAUUUCAUAUUUUACGUUUUAUAUUAUUGUUCUAGAGCAUUUUUAUUAUUUGAUAUAUUAUUUUAUUUUCUUUUUAAUUCUAGGAGAGGAUCCAGCUUCCAGGAUAGAUAAUAGGGGUCCUCCUGCGACCUAGGUCUUUUGUCCUAAGUAUUCUGGUGAGUGGAUAAAUAUAUAACAUUGAUAUUUUUCCUAAAUAUAUUUAUAUGUAUAUAUUUACUUUGUUUAUUUAAAAUGGAAAAUGAUAAAGUUAAUUUAUAUUUAUUGAAUAAAUGAAAAUUUAAUUUAAAGCACAGCUGAAUAAAUAGCCGAUUAAACUCUGUAUAUGCACCGAACAGAUAACACCUUGAUGACAGGUGAUUUAUUUUCAGCAUGAUAUAUAUUUAUACUGUCUUUGGGACAGCGCUUGAUAUACAGACAGACUUUGGGGCGUAUGUCAGGUGGUCACCCUUUGGGGUAGCUCUGCACAUGUGUAUGACCAUUAUUUUAUUUGCUCUUGGGCCAAAUUUGUCAUUAUAGAGCCUAAGAUGCCAGCAUUGCUCUCAGGCUGUUAUUAUUUUAUUAUACCUGAGAUGCCAGCAUUAUCUGCAGGGAACAUAUUAUGAGUGUAUGCGGAUUCUAUUUUUCACAGUUUAUUUUAUGUUGAUGAAAUUAAAUUGUAUUUAUUCAGCUGACUUAUUUUAGCUAAAUAUUUGGUACUAUUAAGUACCUAAACUUAUCUUUUCCCCUUUGUUAUUUAUUUAUCCGCUCACUCAGUAUAUUGUACUCACUCUUAUUUCUUUUAAUAUUUCAGUUUCUUUUUGGUGAUCCGCUCAGCAGUCCUCAUUUCCUAGUUUGUCCUUCCUUCCACAUCGUCCACUCAGAGUCUAGAGGAGGUCGGACCAAUCCUAAGUCUUGUCUUUUCUUUUUGUACUUUUGAUAGAUCAUGUAUAGAUUGUACAGUCCAGUGGAAAAGGUAUUUUGUUGAUUGUAAAUAUUUUAUGGAUUGACUAGUCCAGCUAUUAGUUUUCUCUUAUAUGCUUAAUAUUUGGAGUUAUAGCAGGUUACAUGUUUUUAUAUGUAUAAAUAUUAGGGGAAGUUCUAUCAGUUUUCCGGGUCAUAUCAGUCUCUACAGUUUGGGGAUUGGGUGUGACAAGCUAUGCCAUGAAAAAAUUUUUUACAAUAUAAUAAUUAUAUAUACAUUAGUUUUACUGUAAUAAUUAAUCAAUCAUGGUGAGUUAUUAUGAUCAAUGUUUAACAUCUAACCAUUUUACAUAUAACGGUUGUAUUGAAGAUGGUUUUAAUAUUCUUAUUNNNNNNNNNNNNNNNNNNNNNNNNNNNNNNNNNNNNNNNNNNNNNNNNNNNNNNNNNNNNNNNNNNNNNNNNNNNNNNNNNNNNNNNNNNNNNNNNNNNNNNNNNNNNNNNNNNNNNNNNNNNNNNNNNNNNNNNNNNNNNNNNNNNNNNNNNNNNNNNNNNNNNNNNNNNNNNNNNNNNNNNNNNNNNNNNNNNNNNNNNNNNNNNNNNNNNNNNNNNNNNNNNNNNNNNNNNNNNNNNNNNNNNNNNNNNNNNNNNNNNNNNNNNNNNNNNNNNNNNNNNNNNNNNNNNNNNNNNNNNNNNNNNNNNNNNNNNNNNNNNNNNNNNNNNNNNNNNNNNNNNNNNNNNNNNNNNNNNNNNNNNNNNNNNNNNNNNNNNNNNNNNNNNNNNNNNNNNNNNNNNNNNNNNNNNNNNNNNNNNNNNNNNNNNNNNNNNNNNNNNNNNNNNNNNNNNNNNNNNNNNNNNNNNNNNNNNNNNNNNNNNNNNNNNNNNNNNNNNNNNNNNNNNNNNNNNNNNNNNNNNNNNNNNNNNNNNNNNNNNNNNNNNNNNNNNNUUUUAAAGUUUUAAUUUAUUUUUCUCUAAUUAAUAAAAAUUUUCUAUAAAUAAAAAAAUUUAAAUAUCUCAAAUAUAAAAUAUGAAGUAUUAUUCCUUAUUUGUAAUAAAAGGGGUUUGAUAAUGCCUAUAUCGAAAAUAUUUAAUAAUUAAUAUAGAAAAUGUAUUUUUUUUCUUUGUUUAAAUUAGUGAUAGAAUUUUAUUGUCUAAAAAAAUAAUAAUUUUUCAUUAAUAAUAAAAUAAAAAAAACUUUUAUUUACAUCAAAUUACUUUUGCAAUUAAAUGAUUGCUUUCAAGAGAUUGAAAUUAUUUAUAAAAUUCAACCAUUAACUCUGAGAAUUUUCAUUAAUUUUUACUUUUAUUUUUAUUAGAUAUCUUAUCAUUUAUUUUGAAAAUUGUUUAAGGUUUAUAUUAAUUUUUUUUAUAUUAUACUAUUAUCUAGUUAAUUACGUACCUUUAUAAAUUAAAAAUAUAGUUUAAAAAAUCUUAAUCAACUGAUUAAUAAUUAACUUUUAAUUAUAGUUAAGAUUAAAUUUUUAAAAUUCUUGUUUUAUAUAAUGAGAUUUUUUUUUUCUUUUAACGCAAAAUUUAAAUUUUUUUCAUUUAGUGCAAAAUUCAAAUUCAAGUAAUCAUAUUAAAUAGCAAAUAUAUUAUAUAUUUUGAUCAUUAAAUUUAAUAAUAAGAGUUUAUUAAAAAUAAAUUAAUUCUAUUAAUAAAUUAUUAUCAGUUAAUUAAAUAUAAAAGAUUUAGAAAAAGAAAGAAAAAAUAAAUAAAGGGAUUGACAAUCUGAAAACAUCUAUAAUAAAUUAAAGUAAUUUCUUCUAAAAUAAAAUUAAAAUUAAAUAAUUUUAUUAAAAUAAAUUAAAGUGAGUGAUAAAAAUAAAACAUAACUCAAAAAUUGAGUGAUUCUAACUAAAAAAAUUUAUAUAGAUAUAUGUGGUCGUGUUUAGAAUUUAUGAAGAGUCAAGCAUGAUUUUACCUUUCGUAGAUAUUCACAUCACUUGUUUAAUUUUUAUACCUAGUUAAGUCCACAGACAUGGAUGUUGUGACUUUGGUUGAGCCAAUCGGGAGACAGAUUGGCCAUUUUAUUCACUAUAGAAGUAACACUGUGAAACUCCAGGAGCAAGUUAAAAUACUUGAAGGGGUGAGGGAUGACUUGCAGGUAUCUGUUGAUGCAGCAAAGAGGAAUGGUGAGGUGAUCAGAAAAGAGGUUCAGAAUUGGACAUCAAUGGUUGAUGGGAUUCUAUCAGAGGCUAACAAACUUCUUGAAAAGGCUUCCAAAGUAAGGUUUCAUAAUUUGGCUACACGCUAUCAGCUAAGCAGGAAAGCACAAGAGAAAACAAUGGAAAUUGAAAAACAGAAAAAUGAAGGCAAGUUUGAUAGAGUUUCCAAUCCUGCACCUCCGCCACCAUUAUUGUUUCCAUCUCAAGAAGAUAUUGUGAUUUUCGAAAGCAGAGAACGACAAGUAGAGGAGAUUAUGGAGGCCUUGAAGGACAACAAAACCAACUUCAUUGGGAUAUACGGAAUGGGAGGGGUGGGUAAAACUACCCUGGUGAAACAAGUUGUUAAAAGGGCUCAACAAGACAGGCUGUUUCCUACUAUUGCAAUGGUUGUGGUGUCACAAACCAUUGAAGUGAAAAAGAUUCAAGACCAGAUAGCAGAGAGGUUGGGUUUGAAAUUAGAUGAGGCUAACGAACAAAAUCGAGUAAGCCGGUUGCUGGCUAGAUUGAAGGAAGAGAACAAAGUGCUCAUUAUCUUGGAUGAUAUUUGGGCUAGACUCGAUCUUGCAACUGUGGGCAUUCCACUUGGCCGUGAUCAUGCAAGUUGCAAAAUUAUUGUCACAACACGUCGUAAACAAGUGUGUGACGCUAUGGUCGACACAAGGAGUGAGACUGCAAAAGUCAUCCCUAUUAAUAUUUUAUCUGAAAACGAAUCAUGGGUCUUGCUUAAAAAGAAUGCAGGCGCUCAGAUUGAGUCUCCGACUUUGAAUUCCUUUGCAAAAGAUAUUCUCAGAGAAUGUGGAGGCUUGCCUAUAGCUCUUGUGACAGUGGGAAGGGCAAUGAGAGGCAAAGAUCCUGAUGAAUGGCAAGAGGCAGUUAGAGAGCUAAGGAAAUCACAGCCAGAAACCAUUGAAGGGAUGGAUGAAGAUGUGUACAGAUGUCUUCAGUUCAGCUAUACUUACCUGAAAGAUAAGAAAGCCAUGAAAGUUUUCAAGUUAUGUUGUUUAUUUCCUGAGGAUUUUAACAUCCGUAUAGAAGACCUGGUAAGAUAUGGGUUUGGACUGAAAAUAUUUGAAGAUAUGAGAAUGGAGGAUGCAAGACGAAGUGCUCAUUCCAUCAUAAAAAAUCUCAAAGAUUCUUGUUUAUUAUUGGGAAGUGAUGAGGAAGGCUGCGUAAAAAUGCAUGAUGUCGUGCGUGAUGUUGCCUUAUCAAUGGCGUCAGAUUAUUUUGUUAGAGAUGGUGUCAAAAUGUUGGAGGAUUGGCCGGAUAAGGAAGAGAUGAAGCGUUAUACUGGCAUCUCAAUAAUGCAAAAUCAGGUUUCUAAAUUUCCCGAUGCUUGGGAUAGCCCAAAUCUAAAGAUAUUAUUGAUGGAUAUUGAAAAAACUCGUUUAGUUCAUUUGUGGGAGAAGGCGAUGCACAUGCCAGCAACGGUCUUGAGAGGGAUGAAAGCCCUUCAAGUUUUUCAUCGGAGAGAUAGUAGUAGGGAAAGUACUAUGUCAAUAUCUUUUCGGUUCUUGGAACUAGAAUUUAGUCAAUUAACCAAUCUUCGGACGUUGAUGCUUCAGUAUUAUAAGAUUGUUGACACCACUCCAAUUGGGAAGCUGAAGAUGCUUGAAAUUCUCAGCUUGAAGAAUUGUGAGUUCCGAAAGCCAUUCAGUACAAUAGGGAAGUUGACUAAUCUAAGGUUACUGGAUGUGGAAUUUUCUUCUCUUGAUGGCGUCUUUUCUUCCAUAUUUCCAAUCAAUGCUAUGUCUACUCUGUCCCGAUUAGAAGAAUUGUACUUCCUUUCUUUUGAUAUGUUAAGACCCACACAGUUCCCAUUUUCCGUUUCUACAUCCCUUACUAAUUUUGUAUCCUUCGAUGACUUGAACAUAACAGUUUUGAAAACCCUUUCUCGCUUGACCACCCUUACAAUUGACAUUCAAACCAUUCCCGAAGGCUUUAUGUUCCCAGAGUUGAAGGUUUUCAAAAUUCGUUGGGGAAGCCGGAGACGCCUUAGAGUAAAAGAAAAGCUGAUUAAUGCAUUUUUAUCUCAAGUUGAAGGAUUUAAUUAUUUGGGUCUUUGUGGUGAAUUCGAGGGCGGGAGUAAUAUCACAAUUUCAUCACUAGUUUGUAUGAAGCCAUUAAUGCCAAGAACAAAUUUUCUGUAUUUAGAUUCACUUGAAGAGUUUAAGAAUAUCAAUCCUUGCUUAUUAUUAGGUGAUUUAGAUGCUUUGAAGAUACUAGUGAUUGUCAAUUGUCCUAGUUUCGCUUACUUGAUCAACGCUGAAGAGUUUCUUGGAAGGUAUGCUUUGUUGCCGGAACUGGAAGGACUGUGUUUUGAGGAUUUGGACACCUUCAAAGCAUUAUGCAAUGGUGAACUACCUUCUGGAACUUCCUUGUCCAUGAGGAAGCUCAAAUACUUGACCUUUUUUAGAUGUCCAGAAUUGUUGAAUAUUUUCACUUUACCCAAUCCACAGCAAGAAUUCGAGCAACUCCAAGUUGUUGAAGAGAAAGGAAUGAAGAACAUAUCGAAGGGCCCCACUGAGUUGUUGCAUCUGCCCAAGCUACAAAUCGUAUGCAUUAAUGGGUGCCAGAAAUUAAAAGUUAUAUUUCCUGCUUCUAUUGCUCGAGGACUAGAGCAGCUGAAAGAACUUGAAUUAGAAGACUGUGAUCAAUUAGAAGCAAUUGUUGCAGAAAGGGAAGAAGAGGAAAAGAGGAUUGACAAAGUGGUGUUCUCUCAAUUAAUAAGCAUUAGGUUAUACAAGCUUUACAAUAUUAAAGCUUUUUGCAUGGAUAACUUACCUUUGAAAUGGCCAUCCUUGGAAGAGUUAUCUGUGGAUUCUUGCCCUAAAAUGAAGACAUUCGCUGCUUCUGAUGGAAACCAGAUCAAACCGAAGUUGAAGGAAAUCAAAAUAAAUACCAAUUACAUAAAGUUUGAUGGAACAAACUUAAAUACAAUUAUGAAAUAUCACAACAAAGAGGAGGUACGUACCGUUUUAUCAUUUUAAUUGUGUUUAAACCUAUAACAAAGCGUUUGACCUUCCAUGUUGUUUGUAUUUGUGAUUCAUGGAGUUGCAGAUUCAAGCGAUGAACAAUUGAAGAUGUGUCCAAUGUUAAAAGGCAAAAUAAAUAAAAAAGAGAUAUACUGAUUGAAAAUGACUAUAAACUUCACUGCAAUUCUGAAAAAUUUUUAUUCUUAUAAAUUUUUUAUUUUUAUUUCAGGUGCAAGGUUUUUAAUCCUUAUAUCAUUGCAGCCAGGAGUGGAAAAUGGCAGCAUGGAGUAGUUUAUGAAUUUGUUUAAUGUUAGGCAUUAUUUAUUAUUUGUGAUAUCAAUAUUAUUUUAAUAAGUUUAGCAUGCCAUAUUUAAUAUCAUUAAAAAUAAAUGGACUGAUAAAUAUAUUAUGUUUCUUAUUAUUAUUUAUGAAUUUUAAAUGUAAAAUUAAAAUACUAUAAUAAUAAAUUUUAUCCUCUAUAAUUUUUAUAAAUAUCUAAUUUUAUAUUAUGUGUAUAUCAAUAUAUAAAAUAGUGAGAAUUCGUCCAUAAAAAUUUAAUCACAGUUCAGAUGCAUUUGAAAUUAAUUUUAAAAAUUUUUUAAAAAAUAUUUUUAUGCCAUAAAAAAUAAUAAAAAAUAAAUUAAAUUAAAUAGUAAAAAAUAAAUAAAAUUAAAUAAUAAUAAAAAAAUGAAAAUUGAAAUUAGAGGUAAAAUGACAUUUUUCCUUCCUUUUAGGCUUUCCCAUGGAUUUUAACUUCCAAUUAGAUCUUAAAAAAAAAAGUGGGUUAGACUUAAAAAGGAAGAGGUGGUAGAAUGAGCUACUCACCUUAGCCAAUUCGGCCCACCCAAAGAAAUAAUGUGUGAAUUUUGCUUUUAGGGAGACCCUUGGGUGGUUUAAUUAUGGAACAUUUUAAUUAAAAAUCAGUCUAAAAACCCAUACAACAGCCGACCACAUUAAAAAGAGGUGAGAAUUUACCUAAAAACCCUAACAACCAAUCUUCUUCUCUCAAUUAAUCACAGUUCAGAUGCAUUUGAAUUUGUUUAAUACCUUUCUUAUUAUUUUUAAUGUAAAAUCUGAAAAUAAUACAAAUUAUGUGCAUGAAUCAAUAUGAGCAAUCAAUUCUGUUUAGAUUUUUCAUUUUGAUCGAAAUAAAAUUAUGGCUCCGAAUCAAUUUUCAUAUAUUUUUUGCAUUUUUCUGAUAUUUUUUGAAUAAAUUAUAGACUUUUAAAAUUAUAAAGAAAAUUUAAAAUUUUAAGUUUAAAAUCAAUUUUGAGAAAUAUAUUAUAAAUUUUAGAUUCUGAGUUUCUCACGUAAUAUAGUGUCAUAUCAUUUAAAAUAUUGGUAAACAGAUUUUAAUAUGUAUUGUGAUAAACUUAAUGCAAUGGUAAUAUCUCAAAAAACAUAAUUUUUUUAUUAUUUACUUUUUUUUAUAUAUUUUAUGAUAUUUUUAUAAAAUUUCAUAAUUUUUUUUAACAUAUUUACUCUUUUUCUUUAAAUUUUAUUUUUGGUGUCAUGUGAGAUUUUUCAAUAGGUCUAAUUUUGAUAUUUUUGUGUGAUUAGAUAUUUUUUUUUAUAUAUUUUGAUCUAUAAUUAUAUAUUAUUAACAUAAAUUUAAGUAUUAUAACGGGCUGUAAAUAAAGGUUAGGGUUCCUCUUUUAGUGCUUGCAUAGGCUGAAUAGGUCUUCCACAAUUGGGAAAAAUUUUUACUUUCUGUUGUUUUGGAUUUAAUUUCCUUUUGUUUCAAAUUUGAAUUAAUAGUUUAAUUGCUGUAACUCUCUUUGUUCUAAUCAGUUCAUGCUUUAUUUAAUUUAUUUUUGUCAUAUUUUAAUUAUUUGUAUGAUCUUAUUUGAAUGACUUUUUAGCAGCUUGUGGAUUUACUGCCGCUGUUUUGUCCCUAUCGAUAGAUUCGAAAAAAAUUGAUUUAUAUAUAAUAGCUAUCAUGAAAUUACUAAAUAAUUUAGAUUAAUUAUUUUGAGUCAAGUGAAAAGUGGGUUCAAAAAUUAUUUAGACCAGUUUAGACCGAACUAUUUUCGAUUGGUAUCAGAGCCACCUUGAAUCAGAUAAAUUAUGUGGAGCCGGCAGCUGUUCUGUCCCAGAUCGAUGAAACUAUUAAAUAACUUAAGUUAACCAUUUUAGAUCAAGUAAAAAGUGGGUUCAAAAGUUAUUUGAGCAUUUUAACCGAGCUUUCAAAAGUUAUUUGAGUCAAUUUGAGCCUAACUGUUUCAAUUUAUCAGUCUUCUCCCAAAUAUCUCUCUUAUUUUUCAAAAUUUAUAAUAUAGUGGUAUAAUUAUCUUUCCUUAUUUUUAUAUUUUAAUAGAUUAUUAAUUAAAAUUAUAAAAAGUAUUAUCAUAUAACUUAUAAUAAAAUCAGAUGUAAAGUGAAAAAAAUGUUACCAGAAUAUUUAUAUAAAAAUAAGAUACAGAAUAUCAACGUGAAUAAAAAUUAUCAUAUCUUAAUAUAUAAAAGAAUAUUAAAAAUUUAUUCAUUAAAAUAAAUCAUUUUUCAUUAAUUGCAAUUAAUUUAGUAAUAUUAAAUUCUUCUCUCAAAUUUAAAUCCCAUAGACAAAUGAAAAAAAUUGCUAUAACUCUCUUUGUUCUAAUCAGUUCAUGCUUUAUUUAAUUGCUAUAACUCUCAAAUUUAAUAUUAAUUUAGUAAUAUUAAAUUUUUUACUUCCUUUCUGUUGUUUUGGAUUUUUUUUUUUUUUUUGAAAUAGGGAGUGGGGGAGUCGAACCUUUGACCUCACAAGGUUACAAGGAUGCACUUUCCGCCAGGCUAAGCCUCGGAGUGCGUUGUUUUGGAUUUAAUUUCCUUUUGUUUUAAAUUUGAAUUAAUAGUUUAAUUGCUAUAACUCUCUUUGUUCUAAUCAGUUCAUGCUUUAUUUAAUUUAUUUUUAUCAUAUUUUAAUUAUUUAUAUGAUCUUACUUGAUUUCUUUUCUUAUUUUAAUUAUUUGUGUAACGGUCAACCACUUACUUGCGAAUUUGCGGUCGCUGUUUCAUUCCACAAUCGGUAAAUUUAAAAAAAAAAUAAUUUAUAUAUAAUAACUAAUACGAAAUUACUAAAUAACUUGGAUUAAUCAUUUUAGGUCAAGUGAAAAAUGAGUUUAAAAAUUAUUUAGAUCAGUUUGAACCGGGUUGUUUUCAAUUGGUAUUAGAACCAUCUUGGAUCAGAUAAAUUAUGCGGAACUAGUGGACCUGCGAAAAAAGAAAUACCUGUGAGAGACGAGGUGGAGCUGCCCGAAGUACUAGUGAACCACAAUAACCAAGGGUCCGGUCCUGAUUAGCAAUUGUAACGGAUUCAGUUGCGACAAAAAACGUUACAAAUUUAGCGGGACCGAAUGUAACUGUUAGCUGCCUGCUUGCAGAUUCACAACAGUUGGUUCACCCUACAUCGAUAGAUUUAAAGAAAAUUGAUUUAUAUAUAAUAGCGAGCACGAAAUUAUUAAAUAAUUUAGAUUAACCAUUUUAAAUCAAAUAGAAAAUGGAUCUAAAAGUUAUUUGACCCAAUUUGAACCAGAUUAUUUCAAUUUGUAAAUCUUUUCCCAGAUUUCUCUCUUGUUUUUCAAAAUUUAUAAUAUAGUGGUAUAAUUAUCUUGCCUCAUUUUUAUAUUUUAAUAGAUUAUUAAUUAAAAUUAUAAAAAGUAUUAUCAUAUAACUUAUAAUAAAAAUAAAAAUUAUAUAAAAAUAAGAUAUAAAGUGAAAAAAAAAAUAUUAGCAGAAUAUUUAUAUAAAAAUAAGAUACAGAAUACCAACAUGAAUAAAAAUUAUCAUAUCUUGAUAUAUAAAAGAAUAUUAAAAAUUUAUUCAUUAAAAUAAAUCAUUUUUCAUUAAUCCAAUUAAUUUAGUAAUAUUAAACUCUUCUCUCAAAUUUAAAUCCCAUAGACAAAUGAAAAAAAUUUGAAACAAUAAAAAUACCAAUUAUGUCUUCCAAAUCAUAACGUAUUGAUACUUCAAAUUAUAAAAUAUAAUAAUUAAGUUUUAUUUAUUUUAUAAAAAAUAGUUUUUAAAAAACAUUUUUUUAUAUUUUUUAAUAUUCAAAGUAUUUAAAAAAUUUAAUAAAAAAUUAUUUUACAGAUAAAAUAAUAAAUCAUUUAAAAAAAUAACUUUUUUUAAAAAAUCAUUUUCCAUUUUCAUACCUUUAUUAAUAUCUUUAUAUAUAAAUUUACUAAUAAAUUUUAUUUUUUAAAUUAAAAUUAAAUAAUAAAAAAUAAUUUUCGUACGAAUAAUACUUUUCACAUAAAAUAUUUUUCAAAUACCUAUAAUCCGAAAUAUUAAGACUAUGUUUAUUUUACAGAAAAAUAUAUUUUAUAUUUUCUGAUGUUUGGAUAUUUAAAAAUUUUAAUUAAUAAAAAAUAUCUUUUAAUAAAAAAAUAAGCUAUGUUAAAAAAAUAUUUUCUACAAAAAUCAUUUUAUAUGAAUAAUAUUUUUUAUAAAAUAUAUUUUUUAAAUACAAGUUAUUUUACAUAAAUAAAGGAAGACUAAAAGUAAAUUUUUCUAUUUAAUCUAUAAUUCAAAAUAUUAAGAUUUUAUUUAUUUUCUGAAAAAUAUUUUUUUAAAAAUAUAUUUUUAUAUUUUUUAGUAGUUGAGUGUUUAAAAAAUCAAUAAAAAAUAUUUUUUAAUUAAAAGAAAAAUUAAAUCACUUUAAGAAAAUAAUUUCUUCUUUAAAAAAAUAAAGUUAUUUUUUUAUUUUAUUUUUAUUAAAAUUUAUAUAUAUAAAUUUAUUAAUAAGUUUUAUUUUUUUAAAUCAAAAUUAAGUAAGAUAAAAUAAGUUAUUUUAUUAUUUUUCUUUAUGAAAAAACAGUUUUUUUAUAAAAUAUUUUUUAAAUACAAAUUAUUUUUAAAAAUAAACAUAACUAUUUUUUUUUUAAUGAACAACUAAAAUAACAUUAUAAUUUAUACCUAAUAGAUUCUCUAGCCAAAAUAUAACCAGCUAAAAAAUAACAUUACGAUUUUUGCCAAACAAGGAGAAUUGCCUAUUAUGUGCCGUCAAAUUUGUAUUUUCAAAAUUGCUAAUUGAUGCCAAAAUUGCUAAUUGAUGCCAAUUCUGCCACAAAUCCCGGCGGAGCAGAAUUACCGGAAUCACAUGAGGAAAUCACUCCAACCAAACUUGAUAUCUUUUUUUUUUUUUUAAAUUCAGUUGCAAGUUACAAAAAAUCUCCACAUGACCCAAUUUCCCAAAUAAAUAGCAAAAAAUAGUCAGUUUUUUAUAUUGAAACUUUACAGUAAACACAAUAUUAUCAUCUCUAACAAACUUCUCCCGCCGUUUAAAGGUUGCCGAAAGUUCAAACACACUUUAACUCUCGUAGAGUCUGGCGAUAUAGCUAAAAUAUUUUUCAUAUCAUACUCUUUAUAGUGGCCAACAAAAUUCCCGACCAAUUUUGUCAACGUCUCGUUAUAAUAACUAGAAGGGAGAUCUUUAAUCAGAAUCCAAAAAAUCAGAAUGAGUUAGAGGGAUAUGGAGAGAAUUUUCAUUACCUUGUAUCUCAUUCCAAACAAGCAGAAUCGAUUGUACAACCAAUAGCCCUUAUUCCCUAUAUUUUCAAAAUCAACAUUAUUAAAAAAUCGAAAUAGAUAUUUUUUACCUCUAAUUCCAUAAUUGAUAUUCUCUCUAAAGGAUGUCAUAAAUCGAGAUCUGCAUAUUCUGAAAAUUGAUUGGAUUGUAUGAGAUAAAUAUCUCCAUUAUACAGAAAUCAUAAGUGACGAUAAGAAUAUCUCUAGAGUUUCUUCUUCAUCGAUACUCAAUUGACACAAAUCGUUCCACUUGACCUAAAAUGGUUAACCCAAGUUAUUUAGUAGUUUCGUGCUAACUACCGUUACACUCGGUCCCGUUAAAUUUGCGACGUCCUCGUCGCAACUGAAUCGGUUACAAUUGCUAACCAGAACCAGACCCUUAGGUAUUGUGGUUCGCUAGUACUUUGGGUGGUUUCGUCUCUCACGGGUAGCCCUUUCCUCCCAAACCCACUAACUCUGCAAAAUUUGUCUGACCCAGGAUGGCUCUGAUAUCAAUUGAAACUGGCCCAAAUAACUUUUGUCCUCACUUUCCACUUGGUCCAAAAUGGUUAACCCAAGUUAUUUAUUAGUUUCGUGCUAGCUAUUAUAUACAAAUCAAUUUUCCUCAAAUCUAUCAAUGUGGGACGGAUCAGCUGCCGCAAUUUCACAAGCAGACAGAUGACCGUUACACUAAUAUUUCAUCUAUAUCAUAAUUUUUAUUUAUUUAUUUAUUUAUAUGUGGUAAAAAAUUAUAAUUAUUUUAAUUUAGGGUAAAUUUUUCUACUAUUUUUUAAUUAUAUCUAUUUUAAUAUAAAAAAAAUUAAUUUUCAUUAAAAUAAUAAAAUUAUUUUUAAUAACAUAUAAUUUAAAUUAAAUAGACUCCGAUGCUUAAGCUGGUGGAAAGUGCAUCCUGAUAGACCUGCGAGGUCUAAGGUUCGACUCCCCCAACCCCCUGUUUAAAAAAAAAAAAUUUAAAUUAAAUAUUAAGAUAUAAUGUGAAUUGUUACUUAGAAAAAAUAAAUAAUUAAUGAAGGAUUAAAUAAAAAAUUAAAUUAAAUUAAAUAGCUUAUCAUAGUCAAUUUACACCAGAAUGCUAUGAUUAAUGUGACUCCUUACUAAUCCCUUGGCAAACAUCUAAAUGAAAAAGUUCAAAAACAAAGUGAAAACAUAAAAAAAUUUGACACAUGUGACUUACUACAUGCGACUUACUUCCCGGUUUUGCGUUCCCCUUUCAUAUUUUCAAUUCCUUCUCCUUCACCCAUUUUCAUUCUUUCGACAGCUUGCAACAAGUAGCCUCUGGAUAUAGAGGGAUGGUUUCUUUGUGCUAAUGGGUUUUAACAAUUGGAUCUGCCUAAUUAGUAAUAGUUAGUUUCCUUCUCCACCUUCAAGCAAUUAGAAACCCGAUAAGCAAUGAUUCCUUUUCGCUCUGAGUUUCUGUAAAAGACGUACAUCACUAUAAUAAUUUAUGGCUAAUUAAUUUUUAAUUUUGAUGAUUGUUCAGUUGAUUGAUCAUGAACUUGGUGUUGUAACUAGGAUGUUUCGAUUUGAUAUUAUAUAAGCAGUGAUAAAUGAGCAUAUCUACCAAAUUGAAGAUCUAAUGGUUGAUGUGAUCCUUUGUGAAUAUUACAUGGAUCAUAUGUUUCUUUGUCUUGCUUAUAGAUCAUGUGUUUCAAGAUAACGUACUGGUUUUCCUCUGCAGAUCCCCUUUCAAGCGCAUACGGGCCAUCCAUGCAAGCAUCAAAGAAAGUUUUGGAAUCAGGAUUUGAAAGUGUUAUAUCCUCACCCUUUCCUUCCAGGCAUAUACAAUUCUGCACCCCCGAGCACACUACAGCACAAACCUAUAUAAGCAUACGAAGUAAGUUGUGCACAGUGAUUCAAAUAUUGCUAUGGCUAUUUAAUUUCCACAAUCAAUCACAAUUAAAUUUGGAUUCAAUCAAAUUGAUAUUUAUCUAAAUUAUUUAUAUUUUACUUUAAAUUUGUUCUAUUAUAAGAAUUUCUUUCUCUUAAUACUAAUAAUUUUUCACUAGUAUUAAUUUUUUUUUUUACUGAUAUUUCAUCCGAAAAUCAAUGAAAUUUAAUGAAAAAUGUUAUUUUUAUAACUUUUUUUUAAGUAGAGACUUAAUUCUUAAUUUUCAAAUUACAAUAAAGAUUUAAUAUAGACAAUUAGACAUACAACAGGUAAGUUAUAUAAUACUCUACUUUAUUCCCUCUAGUUUGAUAAAGGAGACAAUAAAAAUAAUGUCUUCGAUCGAAAUUCUACCCAUUCCAUUCUCCCCCAACGUCCUACCCAGCUAUUGGCAUAUAUGCAAUCAAACUUUGGCAGAUGACAUAUAUGCAGGUUUGUGUGCGUAUACGCCAAUCCUAUUAUGACCGUUGAUGACCGCUGAGCUUUUAGUAUCCGAACUGAGGUCGUAGACCUAAAGCUCAUUAGACCUCUCUAAGCAAACUGGCCCAAUACCAUGCCAUCCAGUCUAUGAUUAAAGCAGGCCGGACUGAUCACAGGCUCGGAUCUAUCAGAUGAGAGUCUAACCUAGUGACGUGAUGGGAGAUAGGAGAGCAAACCUAGUUAUCUUGUAGUCCUAUCAGCAUGUGUGCCAGGGUGAAUUAAAUAGCCCUCUGAUAGAGAUGAAAGCGUUGGUACAUCUGUACGUACGGAUCUGAAUGACAGAAUAAGUAGUAUUAUAGUAGGGUGGCGGUUAUACGUUACUAGAAACAGAAAAAAAAAGGGAUAGAGAGCGGGAGACAUGAUCUAAUUAACCAAUGAAAUAAAAAUCUAGCUAAUGAUGUAUUAGUUUUUUUAAUUAAAUAAGUGCCUUGUAUAGGAGGUUAGCAUAUGUUCUCAAUCAUUCAUGAAAAGCAAGCUAUACUUAUAUUUCUUCAUUCAUUUUGGAAGCUGUUCAGAAACGUGAGAGGUACGUUCAUAAUCCACUGCCCUUCCUCUUAUUGGAUUUUUUUUUUAAUUAAUACCUUCUCUGUAUUAUAAUUUUUAUUUAUUUUUUAAUUAUCUUAAAAUUAUUAUUCAUACUUUUUAUAUUAUUAUAAUAUAUAAAUUAAUUAUUAUAACACUAUUUUAUUUUAUUUUCAAAAAAUCUCAUAAAAUAUUUUUUAAUAUUUAAUAAAACUUAAUAUAUUUAAAAAGUUGUUAAUUUAAAUCUCUUAAAAUAUUUUCUAAAAAUUUUUAUUUAAUUAGGAGAAAAUUAUAUAAUUUAAGAAUUUUAUGUAAUUAAAAGUUUAAAAUUUUAAUUAAUGUCUAAUUUCAGUUAAUUAAAUUAUUUAUGUGAUAAAAAUAAUAACAUAUAAUAUAUCAUAUAAGUUAAUUUAAAAAGUUACUAUAAUUAAAUAAAUUUAAAAGUUAAACUUUUUAUUCAAAAUUAAAAGUUUAGAUUAUAAAUAUGAAAAUUUAUAAAAUUAGAGUGUUUUUGAAUUAAUAGACCUGAAAAAUAUUAUACAUUCACUUAAUCUGAUUCGAUCAUGAUUUAAUAUAUAUGUGUAUGGUUAUACUAGGGAAAAUGAGUAUAAUUAAAAAAUUUAAUAUAUUUAAAAGAAUUUUUAAGAAUAUUUAAAAAUAUUUAAUAUAUUUAAAAUGAGUAUAAUUAAAAAGUUAAUAAAAAAUUAUAUUUUUAAUAUGCUAAAAAAAUAAAGUAUAUAAAAAUUAUAGCACAGAAAAAUGAGUAUAUAUAUUACAUAUAUUAAUUAUAACAAAAUUUUUAAAAUUAAUAGUUACGCUGAGGGUUAUUAAUGUAAUUCUACCUCUAAAUAUAUUAUUUAGCAUUUUAGUUUAUUUAUUUUUUUAAAGAAAAAAGAAAAUUAAACAAGUGCCUUCAAUAAGAGGUUAGCAUAUGUUCUCAAUCAUCCAUGAAAAGCAAGCCAGAGAAGAAGAUUAACCCUUUAUUUAUUUAGUAUGAAUUAUUUUAUAAUAAUAGAAUUUAAAUGAAUUUUUUUUAAUAAAAUUAUAUAAAAUUUCAAUUUGUUUUAAAAUGAUUUUUUAUAUUAAAAAAAAAUUUAUUUUAAAUAAUAAAAUUGAAUUUUUUUUAUUCUACAUAGUGAGUUUGAAAAAGGAAAGGAUGAUACUUGUUUUCCCAGUCCAACAAGGCAAUGGUAAACCAAUAAUUGAGAAAAGAAUAAUCCUUUUUAUUAUAAAUUGUAAUGUUUUGAUUUCAAUCCUUACAUUUGCUUAUGUUUGCUAUUUCUUUAUUGAUUUGAAAUUUCUAAAUUUUCAGUUGGAAUUAAGCUGUUCAGAAACAAGAGAGGUACGUUCAUAAUCCACUCUCCCCCUCCUCUUAUUGUAAGAUUAUUUUCAGUUAAUAUAUAUAAAUAUUCAAUGUGCCUAAAUUAUUUAUAUUCCUUACUAUAUUAUUUAAUUCAUACUUAUAUUCAAAACUUUAAAUUUUAUAUGAUAAAAUUAUUUAAAUUUUAUUGCAAAAUUCAAUUUUUUUUUAUUUAGUGCAAAAUUCAAAAUUAAAUAAUUUUAUUGAAAUAAAUUAAAGUGAGUGAUAAAAAUAAAACAUAACUCAAAAUUGAGUGAUUCUAGCUAAAAAAAAUUAUAUAGAUAUAUGUGGUCGUGGAUAUUCACAUUCAUAAUCCUCUUAUUGUAAGAUUAUUUUCCAUUAAUAUAUAUAAAUAUUCCAUGUGCCUAAAUUAUUUAUAUUCUUUCCUAUAUUAUUUAAUUCAUACUUAUAUUCAAAACUUUAAAUUUUAUAUGAUAAAAUUAAAUUUAUUUUAAUUUAUCAUAAUUUUAAUUAAGAAAAUUAAAUUGAAUCUGAAAAGGUAAUAAUAAAUUAUAAUAUAGUUUUUAAAGUUUUAUUUAACUAAUAAAAUAAUAUUUAAAAUAUAUUUUUUUAUUUUAAUAAUAUCUUUUUUAUUAAUCACAUUAUUCACUUUUCAUUUUUAUUUUUAUAUACCUAUAGUAGUUUAAUAAAAAUUUAAAAUAUAAAAAAAUUUUAAUAUAUAAAAUAUAUAAUUUUUUUAUUUAAUAUUAUGAUAUGAAAUACAAUUUUUUAUCUCAUCAGUUAAUAAAUUAAUAUAUAUCAUAAAUUUACUUGUUGUUAUAUAAAUAAAUAAAAUAAAAAUAAUAAAAAUAUUAAAUAUCUCAAAUAACUUACGAUAAAUAUAAUUAAUAUAUUUAAAUUUUUUAUAAAAAUGGAUAAAUUUACAUAUUAAAAAUAUAAUAUUUCAUUUAAUUUAAUAUUAUUAAUAUUAAACAUAAAUUUUCAUAUCUUAAAAAUAUUUACAUAAUUUAUAAUGGUGAAUAUAAAUGUUUAAUAAAAUAUUUUAAUAUAUAAUAUUUAUAUAUAAUAUUUUAUGUAAUAAAAAUUUAUUUGUAAUAAUUAUUUAUUUAAUAUUAUAAAUGGUAAAUAUAAACUAAAAAUAUACCAUGUGAACUAAAAAUUUUCUAGUUAAAAUUGAUUAAAAUAAAUAAUUAAAAUUGAGAUAAAUAUAAAAAUUUUAAUUUUAUUAUUUAAAAUUUUAAUAUUAAAAUAUAAAUGUGAAAAGUGAUAAAUAUUUAAAUUUUUUAUCAAUUAAAAAAUUAUAUUGAUUAAUUUAUAAUUUUAUUAUCCAUGGUUGUUGAACUUUAAUAUAUGUUUCAUUUCUACGACUAAAUUUUAAUUUGUUUCAAUAAAAUUAUUUAUUUUUUAUUUAUUUUUUUUAAAUAUAAUUUUAACCUGCGAUAACAAAUUUUUAAGUUACCAAAAUAAAAAAUAAUUAUUUAGUUUAUUCUUUUCACCACUCUUUUUUAUAUUUAAAGAAUUUAGCAAUUAAUUAUUCUAUGUUAAAUGAAAUCUUAAUUUAAUAAAUUUAUUAAUAUUUUGGUUAUUAUUUUAUAAUUAUUUGUAUUCCUUUUUAUUAUUAUUAUUUUAUUACUAAAAUAAUUAAUUCAAAUUAAACUUAAAUACAAAAUAAUUUUAAAGUUUUAGUUUUUUCAUUUAGUGCAAAAUUCAAGUAAUCAUAUUAAAAUUAAAAUUAAAUAAUUUUAUUGAAAUAAAUUAAAGUGAGUGAUAAAAAUAAAACAUAAUUCAAAAUUGAGUGAUUUUACCUUUCGUGGAUAUUCACAUCACUUAUUUAAUUUUUAUAACUAGUUAAGUCCACAGACAUGGAUGUUGUGACUUGUAUCGCUGGAAAAAUUGGAGAACUCUUGGUUGAGCCAAUCGGGAGACAGAUUGGCCAUUUUAUUCACUAUAGAAGUAACACUGUGAAACUCCAGGAGCAAGUUAAAAUACUUGAAGGGGUGAGGGAUGACUUGCAGGUAUCUGUUGAUGCAGCAAAGAGGAAUGGUGAGGUGAUCAGAAAAGAGGUUCAGAAUUGGACAUCAAUGGUUGAUGGGAUUCUAUCAGAGGCUAACAAACUUCUUGAAAAGGCUUCCAAAGUAAGGUUUCAUAAUUUGGCUACACGCUAUCAGCUAAGCAGGAAAGCACAAGAGAAAACAAUGGAAAUUGAAAAACAGAAAAAUGAAGGCAAGUUUGAUAGAGUUUCCAAUCCUGCACCUCCGCCACCAUUAUUGUUUCCAUCUCAAGAAGAUAUUGUGAUUUUCGAAAGCAGAGAACGACAAGUAGAGGAGAUUAUGGAGGCCUUGAAGGACAACAAAACCAACUUCAUUGGGAUAUACGGAAUGGGAGGGGUGGGUAAAACUACCCUGGUGAAACAAGUUGUUAAAAGGGCUCAACAAGACAGGCUGUUUCCUACUAUUGCAAUGGUUGUGGUGUCACAAACCAUUGAAGUGAAAAAGAUUCAAGACCAGAUAGCAGAGAGGUUGGGUUUGAAAUUAGAUGAGGCUAACGAACAAAAUCGAGUAAGCCGGUUGCUGGCUAGAUUGAAGGAAGAGAACAAAGUGCUCAUUAUCUUGGAUGAUAUUUGGGCUAGACUCGAUCUUGCAACUGUGGGCAUUCCACUUGGCCGUGAUCAUGCAAGUUGCAAAAUUAUUGUCACAACACGUCGUAAACAAGUGUGUGACGCUAUGGUCGACACAAGGAGUGAGACUGCAAAAGUCAUCCCUAUUAAUAUUUUAUCUGAAAAAGAAUCAUGGGUCUUGCUUAAAAAGAAUGCAGGCGCUGAGAUUGAGUCUCUGACUUUGAAUUCUUUUGCAAAAGAUAUUCUCAGAGAAUGUGGAGGCUUGCCUAUAGCUCUUGUAACAGUGGGAAGGGCAAUGAGAGGCAGAGAUCCUGAUGAAUGGCAAGAGGCAGUUAGAGAGCUAAGGAAAUCACAGCCAGAAACCAUUGAAGGGAUGGAUGAAGAUGUGUACAGAUGUCUUCAGUUCAGCUAUACUUACCUGAAAGAUAAGAAAGCCAAGAAAGUUUUCAAUUUAUGUUGUUUAUUUCCUGAGGAUUUUAACAUCCGUAUAGAAGACCUGGUAAGAUAUGGGUUUGGACUGAAAAUAUUUGAAGAUAUGAGAAUGGAGGAUGCAAGACGAAGUGCUCAUUCCAUCAUAAAAAAUCUCAAAGAUUCUUGUUUAUUAUUGGGAAGUGAUGAGGAAGGCUGCGUAAAAAUGCAUGAUGUCGUGCGUGAUGUUGCCUUAUCAAUGGCAUCAGAUUAUUUUGUUAGAGAUGGUGUCAAAAAGUUGGAGGAUUGGCCAGAUAUGGAAGAGAUGAAGCGUUAUACUGGCAUCUCAAUAAUGCAAAAUCAGGUUGCUCAAUUUCCCGAUGUUUGGGAUAGCCCAAAUCUCAAGAUAUUAUUGAUGGAUAUUGAAAAAACUGAUUUAGUUCAUUUGGAGGAGGCGAUGGACAUGCCAGCAACGGUCUUGACAGGGAUGAAAGCCCUUCAAGUUUUUCAUCGGAGAGAUAGUAGUAGGAAAAGUUAUAGAGCACAAUCUUUUCGGUUCUUGAAAAUAGAUUUUAGUCAAUUAAGCAAUCUUCGGACGUUGAUGCUUCAGUAUUAUAAGAUUGACACCACUCCAAUUGGGGAGCUGAAGAUGCUUGAAAUUCUCAGCUUGAAGAAUUGUCAGUUCCGAAAGCCAUUCAAUACAAUAGGGAAGUUGACUAAUCUAAGGUUACUGGAUGUGGAAUUUUCUUCUCUUGAUGGCGACUCUUCUUCCAUAUUUCCAAUCGAUGCUAUGUCUACUCUGUCCCGAUUAGAAGAAUUGUACUUCCUUUCUUUUGAUAUGUUAAGACCCCCACAGUUCCCAUUUUUCCUUUCUUUUGAUAUGUACCCAUUUUUCCUUUUUCCACGUAAUUUUCCAUCCUUCGAUGACUUGAACAUAACAGUUUUGAAAACCCUUUCUCGCUUGACCACCCUUACAAUUCACAUUCAAACCAUUCCCGAAGGCUUUAUGUUCCCAGAGUUGAAGGUUUUCAAAAUUCGUUGGGGAAGCCGGAGACGCCUUAGAGUAAAAGAAAAGCUGAUUAAUGCAUUUUUAUCUCAAGUUGAAGGAUUUAAUUAUUUGGGUCUUUGUGGUGAAUUCGGGGGCGGGAGUAAUAUCACAAUUUCAUCACUAGUUUGUAUGAAGCCAUUAAUGCCAAGAACAAAUUUUCUGUAUUUAGAUUCACUUGAGGAGUUAAAGAAUAUCAAUCCUUGCUUAUUGUUAGGUGGUUUAGAUGCUUUGAAGAUACUAGUGAUUGUCAAUUGUCCUAGUUUCGCUUACUUGAUGAACGCUGAAGAGGUUCUUGGAAGGUAUGCUUUGUUGCCGGAACUGGAAGGACUGUGUUUUGAGGAUUUGGACACCUUCAAAGCAUUAUGCAAUGGUGAACUACCUUCUGGAACUUCCUUGUCUAUGAGGAAGCUCAAAUACUUGACCUUUUUUAGAUGUCCAGAAUUGUUGAAUAUUUUCACUUUACCCAAUCCACAGCAAGAAUUCGAGCAGCUCCAAGUUGUUGAAGAGAAAGGAAUGAAGAACAUAUCGAAGGGCCCCACUGAGUUGUUGCAUCUGCCCAAGCUACAAAUCGUAUGCAUUAAUGGGUGCCAGAAAUUAAAAGUUAUAUUUCCUGCUUCUAUUGCUCGAGGACUAGAGCAGCUGAAAGAACUUGAAUUAGAAGACUGUGAUCAAUUAGAAGCAGUUAUUGCAGAAAGGGAAGAAGAGGAAAAGAGGAUUGACAAAGUGGUGUUCUCUCAAUUAAUAAGCAUUAGGUUAUACAAGCUUUACAAUCUUAAAGCUUUUUGCAUGGAUAACUUACCUUUGAAAUGGCCAACCUUGGAAGAGUUAUCUGUGGAUUCUUGCCCUAAAAUGAAGACAUUCGCGGCUUCUGAUGGAAACCAGAUUACACCGAAGUUGAAGGAGAUCAAAAUAAAUACCAAUUACAUAGAGUUUGAUGGAACAAAUUUAAACACAAUUAUGAAAUAUCACAACAAAGAGGAAGUACGUACCGUUUUAUCAUUUUAAUUGUGUUUAAACCUAUAACACAGUGUUUGACCUUCCAUAUGUUUGUAUUUGUGAUUCAUGGAGUUGCAGAUCCAAGCGAUGAACAACUGAAGGUGUGUCCAAUGUUAGAAGGCAAGACAAAAAAAGAGGUAUACUGAUUGAAAAUGAUUAAGUUUUUUUUGCAUUAAAUUUCACUACAAUUCUGAAGAAUUUCUAUUCUUACAAUUUUUUUAUUUUUAUUUCAGGUGCAAGGUUUUUAAUCCUUACAUCAUUGCAGCCAGGAGUGGCAAAUGGCAACAUGGAGUACUUUAUAUUCAUAAGAUGUUCAAUGUUAGACAUUAUUUAUUAAUUGUGAUGUCAAUAUUAUUUUCAUAAAUUUAGCGUGCCAUAUCUAGUACUAUUAAAAAUGAACUUGCUGAUAAAUAUAUUAUGUUUUUUAUUACUAUUUGUGGAUUUCAAAUGUAAAAAUACAAGAAUAUAAUAAUAAAUUUUAGCCUCUGUAGUUCUUAUUUCUGUUUUCAUUUACAGAUUUUAUAGAUCUCUAAUUUUAUAUUAUGGAUGAGAUUCUGACGAUAAAAAUCACAUCACAGUGCUGAUGCAUUUAGAAUUAAUUUUAGAAAUUCAAAAAAAUAUUUUUAUGCCAUAAAAAAAUAAAUUAAAUUAAAUAAUAAUAAAUAAAAAUUUUUUAAUUAAUACUAAUUUAAAUAAAAUUAACCAAUGAAAUAAAAAUCUAGCUAAGAAUGUAUUAGUUUUUUUUUUUUUUAAUUAAAUAAGUGCCUUGUAUAGGAGGUUAGCAUAUGUUCUCAAUCAUUCAUGAAAAGCAAGCUAUAAAAGAAGAUUAAUUAAUUUUUUAAUUAGUAUUAAUUCAAAUGAUAAACCAAUAAUUAAGCUAAGAAUCCCCUUUUAUUAUAAAUUGUAAUGUUUUGAUUUCAAUCCUCACAUUUGCUAUACUUCUAUUCUUCAUUCUUUUGAAUUUCUUUCUAAGAAAUGUUAGAUUAUAAAAUAUAAUAAUUAAUUUUUUUAAAAUUAAAUUAAAAAAAAUAAAAUUUGAGAGCUAUUAGAUUUAUUUAGAUAUACUUAUUAUUAAAAUAUUUUUUAUAAAUAAAUAUUCUGGUAACAUUUUUUCACUUUAUAUCUGAUUUUAUAUAUUUGUGAGUGUAUAAUAAUUAUUUUUUAGAACAAUAUUUUUUAUAUUUUUUAAUGUUUGAAUAUUCAAAAAAUUUAAUUAAUAAAAAAUAUUUUCUUAGUAAAAAAAUAAGAAAAAUAUUUUCUAUAAAAAUUAUUUUUUACUAACAAUAUUUUUGAUUGAAAAUAUUUUUUAAAUAUAAGUUAUUUUUAUAAAUAAAUAAAAAUUAAUGGUAAAUUUUUCUAUUUAACCUAUAAUCUAAAAUAUUAAGACUCUAUUUAUUUUACAGAAAAUAUUUUUUAAAAAAUAAUUUUUAUAUUUUCUAACAUCUGAAUACUUAAAAAAUUUAAUUAACGAAAAUAUUUUUUUAAGAAAAUAAAUCACUUUAAAAAAAAAUUUUAAAAAAAAAAUAAAGUAUUUUUUACAUUUUAUUCUUAUUAAGACUUAUAUAUAUAAAUUUAUUCAUAAAUUUUAUUUUUUAAAUAAAGAUUAAGCAACGUAAAAUAAAUUAUUUUAUUAAAAAUAUUUUUUUAUGAAAAACAGCUUUUUUUAUAAAAUAUUUUUUAAAUAUAAAUUAUUUUUUAAAAAUAAACAGGACUUAAAAGUUAAAAUAUUUGAAAGAAACAAUACUAAAACGUAAAAUAUUUUAAAGAGAGAUCAUAGAUUUAAACCGGUAAGUGAGAUUAGUAAAUAUUUCAUUUAUUUCUUAAUUUUUAUUUAUUUAUUUUUAUAUGUGGUAAUAAACUAUAAUUAUUUUAGUUUAGGGUAAAUUUUUUUAUUAUUUUUUAUAUUAUAUCUAUUUUAAUAUAAAAUAAAAAUAUUAAGUUUCAUUAAAAUAAUAAAAUUAUUUUUAAUAAUAUAUAAUUUAUUAAAUAUUAAGAUAUAAUGUGAAUUGUUACUUAGAAAAAAUAAAUAAUUAAUGAAAAAUUAAAUAAAAUAGCUUAUCAUAGUCAAUUUACACAUGGACAAUAAUGUAAAAAUUUGAAAAUUAACAAUAUUUUAGUACAUUUGAGAAAAGAAAAAUAAAUAAAUACAAUAAACAAAGAAAAUAAUUAAUUACUCUAGAAAAAUUACGAGUUACUUAAUACUAUUUUCAUCUCAUAAUAUUUAUCGUUUAAAUUAAUUAAUAACAUUUAAUUUUAGAAAAAUAUAUAAUAAUUUAUUUAAAAUAUUUUUAGGUGGUUAUAAUUUAUUCACAUAUUAAUAUUAAAUGAUUUAUAAAUUAUUGAUUCAAAAAAAAAAGAUUUAUAAAUUAAUAACAGUAUAAAAAAAUAAUUAAUAUUAUUUUAAAAUUUUUAAUGUGAUGAAUAAUCUGAAAAAACAAAUCAUUAAAUACUUAAUUUUUUUUAAGUGAUUGUUAAUACUUCCCUUGACGUUAUUAUUUCUCUAAUAAUUACUAUAACUAUCAAUUAAUCUGAAAAAAUUAUUGGUCCGUGAAAACCACGCGUCUUGUGAUUCGUUGGGACUAGUCACCAUAACCAAAGCUGGAACACUUCCUUGCGCAUGUUAGCUGUCCUGCGGGAAGCUCCUCAUUCCUUUUACUUUCCUACGAUUAUUCCAAAACUCUUGUGCCGAUCUUCAAAAACGCUUUUGCGGAAUUCUUCUUAAUCAUUACGCAUCUUGGGUCUCAAAAGUUUUAGCCGAAUCGUCUCAUUGUCUAGAGAUUAAAGGAAAAUUAUAUGGCUCAAGCAGUUGAAGAAUGGUACAAGCAGAUGCCUAUUAUCACUCGCUCGUAUCUAACAGCAGCUAUUGUCACCACCAUCGGUUGUUCCCUGGAUGUAUGUUUCCUCUAUCCCUUUAAUCCGUCGUGAUGAGCAUCUUCUUAAAUUGGAAUUGAAUAUUUGUUUGGGCAGAAAGAGUUUUGCUUGAUUGUUUGAUAGUUGAUAAUUUUGUUUCUAGACAAAUGGGUCUUAUUGUUUUUAGCUGAUUUCUAAUAGGGUUUGUUUUAAUUUUGCGAAUUGAAGCCAUUUCCUUUUCAUGUUCUAUGUGAAUUGUUUGUGCUUUUCGGUUUAUUGCUCAAACUUUAAUUCUAUAAUCAAAAUUUUGGAUUUUGAAAGUUGUAUUUAUUUUUUUAUUUGUUAUAUCUUAUUAAUGACUAGGCUACUUAAUUUUGGUUAUUGUGGCCAUUGGUACGACAGUCAUUUUCCCACACAGUAUUAACCUCGUAGUUCAAGUUCAAGGCAAACCAUCCAUGUUGGAGUUAGAGGAUGUGUCAGGAAGGAAAAUAACCAUCCUUAUGGGUUAGCUUCAGAAGUAGAAUUAUUUUCAACAACAUUUAGAGUACUAUUCAUGUCAAUCAGUCUACCCCUUUGGGUUUGGGUUAGUGAACUUGAUUAGUUUGUUAUGAUUUUGUAUUUUUUUUUCCUUCGAUCAUGUUUGUAUUAGCAUUGAAAUUUCAAGUGGCCUUGUUCAUCUCUUCCUUUUGUAAUUUUGAUCGUCUGCAUGUAUACUUGCACGGUUGAAAAGCUUUAGCAACUAGUCGUCUUUUCCUCUCAUUUUCUUUCAUUUCCUUUUCUUUGUAGAUAAUAUCUCCUCAUAAUUUGUACUUGCAUCCUACACUCGUGGCUAAGCAUUAUCAAUUCUGGCAUCUCAUCACCAAUUUUCUGUACUUCCGGAAAAUGGAUAUUGAUGACUGUUGGAUUUCUCCACCCCGGUUCAAGGCCAGACCCAAGAUAACAGUCCAUUAUCCAGAGAUUUCGGAGCUUCACAUUUGUAUCCAGUCCGAUCCACUCCGCCUUGGGACCGGACCUUAGUUAAUUUCUCCAAUCAGGCUGGCCCAGCAUGUCCGGCCCAAUGAACAGAAUACACUUUGGACUCAGUCUUAAAUCUGCCUUUUAGCCCAGCCUGGAACCAGAAAGAAGAUCUCUCCAUCUGCCUUGUGGACCCAUCCACACGUGCGCUGAGGGAAUCAAAAGCCGUUACGCAUGAGGCAGGUACCCGAUAUCCUCGUAUGUCCGUAUCAACGUAGCAGGGACAGGUGGCCCAAUGAUAGACGGUUUGUUAUACGUCACUAGCAGGCAAGAGGAAACAAAUAAUGAGAGGAAUGGGCUCCUUGGAGGCCAAGUUUUUGAUCACUUACAGAACCUCCGUAAAACCCUUGUAGAAAAAAUCCUAUUUUUCUGGAUCUCAGAUCAUCAAUUGGCGCCGUCUGUGGAAAACGGAAGGAGAUCUUUUCAUCACCGGAAGUUCCACCUUUACAAAACCCACUGAGAUCCACGAUGGCUAAUCACAACGAAAACAACGCCGUUCCAAACGACCUGAGCUCUGCCCAAGAGGGGCAGCAGUUCUCCUUUUCUAGUCCUACAACCCCAAAUAACCAACCACCCAUUCCUCUCAACCCCUCACCAAGCCUGGCUGGGAACGUGCCCCCCACGGCCUUGUCCAACCAAGACCUCUAAACCAUUGCCCUCCAGCUACAAAACACCGCCCACUGGUUGUGGCAACUAAUGUAACAAAGGGGCCUCAGUACCCCCGUAAAUGCGGUGCCGGUGGUAGAAGAGCUCCAGACCAAUGAACCUCAACCUACUCUUAACCAUCAUCAAACCAAUAGCCGUGAAGUUGGGGAAGAGGAAGAACCGGAAGCUAGGAUCCAUGGAAGGAGGGUGAGAGAGAUGAUCGAAAAUGAUGGGGCUGAUAGUUAUUCCGCCGGAACAACUAGGUGGACGAGGAGUGAAGCGGAGGAGGAAGAACACCGCCUGGAGAAAAAGCCCAGGCAGGAGGAGAAGAACGUAGACCAAAAGCUGCAGGAACUGAGAGAGCAGCUCUUAGCUGAGUUGAGAUUGAAGGAUCAGGAUCAAACUCUCCUACCCACCUCUUCACCCUUCUCGAAGUGGGUGCAGCAGGAGACUGUUCCCAAGAAGUUUAUGAUACCACCAAUGGCGGCCUAUGACGGAGCCGGAAAUCCCCGGGAGCAUGUCUUGAACUAUAAAACUUUCAUGGAGCUGCAAACCUUGUCGGAUGCCUUGAUGUGCAAGGUAUUCCCAACGACGCUCUCGGGGCCAGCACGGGCGUGGUUUAAUAAUCUCGAGUCCGGAAGCAUCAACAGCUUUGGAGACCUGGCCACUCGCUUCAUCAGCCGGUUUAUCGCCGGGGUGCCUGCAGAUAGGAAGACGAGCUAUCUGGAGAUGAUCCGGCAAAAGAGAGAUGAAUCGCUCAGGGAGUACGUCGCUCGUUUCAACACAGAGGCCCUGCAGAUUCUCGAGCUCGAUGAGGGAAGGGCGGUAGAAGCCAUGCAGAAGGGGACGACCUUGGCCGAGUUCUUCGGCUCUUUGAGUAGGAAGCCUUCGACCUCACUGGCCGAACUAAUGAAACGGGCGGAGAAGUAUAUAAGGCAGGAUGAUGCCUUAACAACAAGCAGGUUCGCUAGAGGAGCGAUUGAUAAAGGGAAAAUCCUGGAGGAUCAAAGGCCAGAAAAGCACGAGAAGAAACAUGGCAGAAGGCCUGAGCCAUACAAACAUCCCUGGGAGCGAAGGAACCAGAAGCCUCUCCCCCCGGGGUCCCAGAGCAGAAGUCACUCCCUCCAUGGGUCCCAAAGAAGCCGACCCCACUCAACGCUUCUAGAGCCGAAGUGCUCAUGGCUGUCCAAAAUAAAGAGUUCUUUCAAUGGCCCAGGCCUAUGACGGCAGAAGCAAGCCAGCGAAAUCCCGAUAAGUACUGUCAGUACCAUCGUACGCACGGCCAUGACACCAAUAACUGCUUCCAGUUGAUCACAGAAAUCGAGAGGCUGAUAAAAAGAGGGCACCUCAAGAACUUUGUAAAGAGGCCGGAGGAACAAAGGCCUUAGCCGAACUCAACACAUCAAGCACUCAGGAUAACGGGAGCAAGUCCAGUAAAUGAUGGAUCCAGUGGGACCAUCAACAUGAUUACUGAGGACACAGGAAGUCGGAAACCUGUCUACCUCUGAUCGAGACGUCGUGGAAAUUACACCAUGUGGACGGAUUAGUGAUGAAUCGUGCUCAUCUUUCACACUUUGGAUAGUCAUACCGGCUGAUGUCGAGACAAGGUACGCCUAAUUUGACAUGUGCCAUAAGCGUUAGGAAAACUUACGAGAGCAAAUAUUAUUUAUUGAACUAUGCUCAUUGUAUGAAGUAAUACUGUUAUUUAGAACUAAUUUUACGUUCAUAUAAGGUAUGAGACUGAAUAACAAGUGCGACAUAUUGUUGGUGAAUAUUAUUGAAUUGACGAUGAACAUCCUCGCCAUAUACGCUUUGUGCAAGCUCUUAUUUUGCAGAAAAAUCCUGAAUUCUUCAGAAGACCCUGAGACAUAGAGACCUCAGAGGUGCAAGGCUGGCGAGGAUCUCAAAAAGACCUCCCGGAGCAAAAAUGGCCAGGAUCUCGUAAGAUCUCCUGGAGCAAAAACGGCCGGCGAGGAUCUCAAAAAGACAUCCCGGAGCAAAAACGGCCAGGAUCUCGUAAGAUCUCCUGGAGCAAAAACNNNNNNNNNNNNNAUCUCCUGGAGCAAAAACGGCCGGCGAGGAUCUCAAAAAGACCUCCCGGAGCAAAAACGGUCAGGAUCUCGUAAGAUCUCCUGGAGCAAAAACGGCCGGUGAGGAUCUCAAAAAGACCUCCCGGAGCAAAAACGGCCAGGAUCUCGUAAGAUCUCCUGUGUAACGACCCGGAAAUUUGGACCGCUACCGGCGCUAGGAUCCAGAUCGGCGUAAGGCCGCCGGGACCCGUAGCAAGCCUAACAUAUAACCUGUGAACCUGUCUCAUCCCAUACAUGAUCAUACAAAACAUAAACCUGUAGAUUUCCUCAUACAUCAACCAAGCUCAAGCUGUACAUAAACAUAAUCAUAAACAUAACCUCCACUGGAGCCCUCAUCAAAUGCUCCAAUGGGGUAUCUCAUCAUACAUGAACUUGGUUGAAACUUAACAUCAUAUAUCAUAACUUAAAGAUCAUGUACAUGCCAAUGGGAUUAACAACAUAUAAUGGUCAAGCACAACUCUAACCUCAAUAACAAAACCUGAAAUUACAUACUAUCAUUAUACAAAGCAUUCAUUACAAUAUUUGUCAUGUCCACAGUUCUAACCAACUAUUACAUCCAACUGACUUCUACUCUGACUGACCGCCUGGUCUACCCUGUACCUGCACAUCUGGGGUUAGGGGAGAGGGGUGAGCUAUAAAGCCCAGUGAGCAGAAUAGUGAAAACAUUAUAUUCUAAAACAUGCCUUUCAUGGAAUGCAACAUAGCACAAACAAAAACACAUCAAGGAUGAACUUGUCACCAAUGGCCCUCUACAUGGUCCAACAUGGUCCAACUGUGCCAGAACGUAGAAUGGGUCCUGGUCUUUCUCUUACUCUGUGCCAGGGACGUAGAAUGGGUCUUCCUGGACUUUCUCUUACUCUGUGCCAAGGACGUAGAAUGGGUCUUCCUGGACUUCCAUACCAUAUCAUCAUAACAUCAUAUCAUACGAGGACCAAUGGAUCAUUCAACAUUCAUCCACAACAACAUCAUAGUAUGCAAUGCAACAUCUUCGUGAAUACUAAUGCAAACACCCUAUAAUAUCACAUGGCAUAUAUGAUGCAUGAACAUGCUCAAAAAGUUAUAUUUCAUUUAUUUAAAACUUAAGAGUUUAUUCCACUUACCUCUGGCUAGCUCUGACAAUACUCUAUAGCAGCUGACUCACUGCUAGGGUCCUCGGUUCCUCGGGUCCGAACCUACACAGGUGGACUCCAAUGAGGGACCAAACAUAUAUAAACAUAACUCUAGUAUACUCCCCAAAAACUUCCCAAAAACAUCAUGAAUUAAUCAUAGGAAAACAUGCAUGAAAUGGCUGGACAGGGCACUUUCGGCGGCAGGUUCGGCGGCCGAAAGUCCCUCCAGAGCCGAAAGUUAGGCAGGUUCGGCGGCCAAAACUCCCAGACAGAGACGAAAGUCUCUUUUCGGGGGCAGGCUUCGGCAGCCGAAAGGCUUGCCUCCCAGCCAUGUUCGGCGGCCGAAAGUCCUUCGGCUGCCGAACCUGGUUUCUGCCAAAGGGCAGAAACUUGGCUCCUCAUGCCUCCAAAGCCUCAAAUCAUGCAUAAACUCAACCUAAAACAUGCAUACAAGUUCCUAGGGGUCUCAAACUAACAUAUACCCUAACUACAACACUUCAAUCAUACACAUUCAAGCCACAUUGUUCAAAGAUCACAUAAAACCUAACAUAGCUCAACUAACUUAAACAUGCAUUUCUACCCCAUAAAACUUUAUAAAACUUGUUUAAAACAUACAUUGAGCUUAAGAUCGGCUCUUACCUCUUGAAGAUCGAGGGAAAACAACCUUAGCUCGGAAAUGGGGGAGAGAGAGUUCCUUGAACCUCUAAGCUUCAAAACUUGUUCAAAAGCUCAAAAUCUUCAAAACAAAGAUGAAAAGCUUGUCAAAACGUGAAAGAUUUGAAGGAAAACGUUCAAGAUCGGUGAGGGGCGGCGGAGAGCUCACCUUGGCCGAAAAUGGGGAAAAAGCUCGCCCGUUUUCGGCUAAGGGACCCUUUUAUAGGUGGCUGGCCAGGCCACGUUCGGGGGCCGAAAGUGCCUCCGCAACACAUGCAAGUUCGGCGGCCGAACCUGGACUUCCCUCACUCAUGCUUUCGGGGGCCUAACGUGCCUCCGCAUGCAUGCUAUGUUCGGCGGCCGAACUUGACUUUCGGCGGCCGAACCUGGGUUUUCCUCCAAAGGCUUUUCAUGCAAAACUCAUAUAAAAUCAUACUUAAAAACAGUAAAAUACAUGAAAACAUUUUAAUAAAACACGAUAUUACCCUUCUAGAGGUCUCCGAACAUCCAAAUUUUACCGGACGGUAGGAAUUCCGAUACCGGAGUCUAGCCGGGUAUUACAUCCUGGAGCAAAAAUGGCCAGGAUCUCGUAAGAUCUCCUGGAGCAAAAACGGCCAAGAUCUCGUAAGAUCUCCUGGAGCAAAAACGGCCGGCGAGGAUCUCAAAAAGACCUCCCGGAGCAAAAACGGCCAGGAUCUAGUAAGAUCUCCUGGAGCAAAAACGGCCGGCGAGGAUCUCAGAAAGACCUCCCGGAGCAAAAAUGGUCAGGAUCUCGUAAGAUCUCCUGGAGCAAAAACGGCUGGCGAGGAUCUCAAAAAGGCCUCCCGGAGCAUAAACGGACGGGAUCCCCAAGAUCUCCCGGUGCUACAAGCAAAAACAAUUCAUAAAUAAGUACAGUUCUGACCCCACGAAAAAGAUUGGGGCACGGGGCCAUAAAUGAACAGCUAAAAAAUUUUUGACCUCCCAAGGGACAGCCAAAAGCGCCAAAGCGCCACGCCGACCUCAAGAGGGUACUGGAACAGAAAUAAAAGAAUACGAAACCGACCUCUCGAAAGAGCUCGGAUUACAAGCCAAUAAGACCUCGAUCUCACAAAAUAGUCAGCAUAUAUCGAAAUUAAACUAAGGCGCCCCAACGCCUGUAUCAAUGCAACCUACUAAAGGCCAAUGCAAGGCUGGCGGCGCCAAAGCGCCAAAGCGCCAAAGCACCAUGCUGAUCUCAAGAAAAUGAAACUCGGUAUUGGAAAAACCCAAUACAGAGUCAAACAAAGAAUCAGGGGCAAUCAUAAGAGGCACCGGCCUCGAGAAUUGACCAUCAGCACUAAACCAACUCAGCUGGCCUAGAGAGAGGUCCAUGCAGCAAAGAGCCCGCAAAACAGCCCAUAAAACACUCGGGGGUAAAAAAUCCAACCAACCGAUACAUACAGGAGAGCCUGAGACUUAGAUAGAAAAUCGAGGAGACAGGAACGAUACAAAAAGCUGAAUAAGCCAUUUUGAACGACCGAAUGGGGCAGUAGAAACCCUGACUCAUCAGAAUAUAAAAGAAUCGAGCCGCAAUAUGGUCGAGCCCAAAACAGAUAGUCCGACCUCCUCAAAUCCAGGGUCAAUCUCCCCGGAAGCUUGGAGGGGCCUUACGCCUGUACCGGCAAAGCUAUAAGCCUAUAAAAGAAAAAGGUAAGGCCGAAUAAACAAGCAGUCAGACCGAAACACAGCCCGUAUAAGGCUUGACAAGAAAGCAAGAAAUUAAGUCUGAAUAAGGCUUGACAAGAAAGCAAGAAAUUAAGUCUGGCUUCACAAAAGAGCUCGGGGCACCAAAGUGAGGAAGCCGAAAUUCCGAACUCCGGCGCCCGUAGUACAGGCAGCAUCACAAGUUAUAAGCAUAAAGGCCUGAGCAAAAGGCAAAGAGCCGAGCUCCCAGCUCGGAUGAACUUGCGACAUGAAAACAACCAAGUUAAAUAGAGCUGAGUAUAGAGGACAUACCAGAGAGCCGAGCUCCCCACAUGAAAAGGCUAGCAAAUGCAGAAAAACACAAAAGGAUAAAGGGAAGCGAGAAACCCUCAUUACAGCUCGGAUUAACUCACGGUAAACAAACACUUAGCGAAGAUGACCCUGGGAGAGGAAAACGACAAAAGACCGAGCUCCCUAUCCUAGUGAAACACACAAUUUAGACUGAACUAAUCGCCGAAAGGUUACCUCCACAGGGAUAAGACGUCUGAGCACGAAACAGGAACGAGAUUUAAAAUUGUCUAGAACGAGGCCGUCAUGCGAAUAAGACACUCCUCUAGGAAUUAUAUAUCCGAGCUCGCAGCACCAUGCGAAGCCAUGAGCUAAAAACAGUGAUGCCCUCAUGAGAAUAAGGAAAACUCGCAAGAGCAGUUCUCGGGCCAUUCAGGUCGUAAAUAUAAUUCAAGGAUUUACCCCCUCGUCACUCAUGAAAUAACCGCCGAGGAGGUAAAGGGGCCCAGAAAGGGAACAAUAGCUCAGAGCCUACCAAGUCCCUUCUUAAGCAAGAUCGACCUAAUGUUCUAAGCCUCGACCUGGAUGCCUGAGGUGAGCUAAGCCCGCCGUAAGUCAGGAUCCAAAAGAAGAGGUCCAAAAAGAUAUUGAAACAAAAAUAAAAUACUUAAAUCCGAACUCGGAUUAUAAUCCAAUAGGAUACUGGGCUGAGACACCGAAACUUCAGAAGGGCAGAACAUCAGGAUCCCCAAAGAUUUCCCAGAACGAAAAGAGCCGAGCUCAGAAAGUUUAAAGGCGGACUAAAAAUCACAAGCCUUCUAUAAUUUGAGAGAAAAUCCAAUAACAUGAAUAGAAGGCCCCAACUUCAAUUCCUAUCGGAGCAGAACUAAAAACGAUAGGCUAGCCCUACUUGUCAUCUUAAAGGAAAAUUAAGGAUGCUCAGUCGGCUGUUCAAAGCCGAGCUCAGAACGAGGACUCCACGUGGGUAAACUUUGUGAGAGGUUAAGUGAACUCACAACUUAAAGACUUUCAUCUCCAAGGCUAGUCCAGCUCGGAAAGAGCUUACGAUUAAGAAUGCCCUAAUGAAGAGGAGAAAUUUACAAGUCAAAAAGCGCAAUCAAUUAGCAGAACCUUAGCUCUGAUGGUCUCGAAAGCGAGAAGGGAAAAUGGUAUAAUUGAUUCUUUAGAGAAAUCAAGAAGUACAGGACAGAGGUGAGAACAGCUUGAGUAUGCACGAAAAGCGAAAAAGAGUUCAAGCGAAUAAAAAUAAAAUUAAAAUUUCGUUAAAGGAAAAGUACAUGACAGCCUGUUACAAGUACCUACACUACGGAAGGAAAUGCUAUCUUUAAAGAACUUACAUGCCUAAAUACAUUAUCAUCUACGUUUACAUCACUAUCACCUACACUACUAUCUUAGCUUUCAACUCGGAAGAAUCCUCAUAGUUUGGAAGACGAGCUUCGUGGGCCUGCUGAACUCUGUCUCGUUAUAGAAGAACUGAACAAGUUGAUUCCCAUAAGCAUUUCUCACUAUUCCAUCACAUGUUGUGUAUGUAUCACGCAUGAAAAACAUAAGUCUUCGAGUUAAAGUCCCAGGAAGAUCAGCUUAGUCACCCUUUUGCUAAGUAUCCCGAGGAGCAAUGGAACAAGUGAAUGUUGCAAACCUUCACACAUACUAUGUUGGACUAAUUUUAGCAGAUUACCCUUGCUUCCUUAUUUAAACAUAGUCAUCAAUGCAUUGUCCUUACUUGCAUAUUUGUGAGCUAAGCUUUGAAUAUCACAGAACAUAUGUUUAAAAGCCCCAGCAGGGGCUCGAUUGAGCACGACAAAUCUCCGUCCUUCAUAGUACAAGCGCUCUAUAUCAAAAUCGACGACCAGUCUAUCGUCUUCACCAUUUCUAGCAAGGAAGUCCUGACACGGACCCUCCACGAGCUGCUCCAUGUUACAUGUGUGAACUGCAUCUUGUAUCCCACAAUAAACCUCAGAAAUCACGCUGUCCCACAAGUUCGAGUCUGGAGUAGACAUCAGGGGCACCACGGGAACCCCCUCUUCCUCUCUGAGGAGAAAGAAGACAAGGGCCGGUCUCCUAAAAGCCCGGAACUUCUUUGGAACGGGAACUGGGGCAGACACUUCAUCGAAGGCAAGACGCUUGCAUCCAACCUCGUCCACUACACCUCCAUCACCCACAAAGCUGAGUUCUUUCCCCUCGGCGAUUGGGGCGACCUCGAUAGAGGUGGCCUCGGCAGGGGCCCCCUGAACACGCCUCCCAAAGGCAAUAUUCGUCCUGCUUACGGAGAUUCGCCUCUCACAAACAUCGUCAGAAGGCGGGGCAGGCUUCGUUUUUAUCAACUCGGAUUCCUUGCUAGGCCUUAAAGCCCAUGGGGACUGGGUGGCUGGAGCAGCUUGAGCGGCCGAAACCAAUCUGCGGUGGCCUAGCGGCCUUGAAGACUCGACACCUCGAGAACUCAACUUCAAAGCUCGGGCAGGAGCGAGGGGAAGAGGCAGGCCAGACGACCUGGACGAUAUCAUUUCGGUGACUGGCUGGAUAACUUCUCCCGCCAUUCGCCCUACUAGGAGGACGUCAGGGGCAAUGUUCAAACUUUGUGUGGGCAACGUAAGAACUUCAAGGAGCCUAAUCUGUUCCAUCUUCGCCUCAUAAGCCACAAAAAACCUGAAAUCAGGGUAAAUCAGAAAAUCGCUCCACAAGAAUCACCAAAAACCAUAUUAAAGCAGAUCUUUAUGAGAAGCAUGGUGGCAAAAAUUUUAGUUCAUCCUGACCAACCUGAAGGAAAAAUCAAACGAACGCCCUACGGGUGUAAGACUCCAACCUAGACAGCUGGUUCGAAAGAAGGCAUGAAGAGAGUAAAAUUGGAGGGAUCGAUUGGACCGGAGGAAUGAAGACUAAGAAGCCUGGUCCCCUCGUCCUGAUAAAGAACCUGAAAGUGAAAAGGAGGUGAUAUUAGUCUAGAGACAGAUGUUCUGAUGAGAACGAGGUGGCUUUAGACCCUAGGCUGACGACGUCAGGGCUCUUAAAGGCCAUUCACAAGAAAGGAAAGAAAGCUAACCUGGAAGAUAAAGGCAGGAAAGCGAAGAUGACAGUGCGUGCGAAGAACAGAGGAAAGCCGGAAAUGGUAAAAGACAGAGAAGAUUCAAAACUCAAAUUGACAAUAAGAUGAAAGGGAGUUAUGAGGCAAGCUGUAUUCGAACGGGCGCGUCAUUAUGAUUCUUGGAAUUUACCCCCUCGACAGUUGAAGCCAUAACUGCCGAGAAGGUAAAGGGGCAAUUGAUGACCGCUGGAUUUCUCCACCCCGGUUCAAGGCCAGACUCAAGAUACCAGCCCAUUAUCCAGAGAUUUCGGAGCUUCACAUUUGUAUCCAGUCCUAUCCACUCCGCUUUGGGACCGGACCUUAGUUAAUUUCUCCAAUCAGGCUGGCCUAGCAUGUCCGGCCCAAUGAACAGAAUCCACUUUGGACUCAGUCUUAAAUCUGCCUUUUAGCCCAGCUCGGAACCAGAAAGAAGAUCUCUCCAUCUGCCUUGUGGACCCAUCCACACGUGCGCUGAGGGAAUCAAAAACCGUUACGCAUGAGGCAGGUACCCGAUAUCCUCGUACGUCCGUAUCAACGUAGCAGGGACAGGUGGCCCAAUGAGAGACGGUUUGUUAUACGUCACUAGCAGGCAAGAGGAAACAGAUAAGGGGAGGAAUGGGCUCCUUGGAAGCGAAGUUUUUUAUCACUUACAGAACCUCUAUAAAACCCUUGUAGAAAAAACCCUAUUUUUCUGGAUCUCAAAUCAUCAGGUAUGUUUUAAACUUUGAGCUUUAAAAGAUAAAUGAUUUGCAUUGUUGUUGGUAUAUUAUAAUAUUAUCCUACUGUUAAACAUAUAUGAGAUUCUGAAUUAAUUACUUAAUUAAUUUAUUUUUUUAUAAAUUAUAAAUAAUUUUAUAAUUGUAUAAAAUAUUUAAAAUUAUUAUAUUUUAUUGUUAUUAAAUAUUAUAUGAGAAUAGUUAUUUAUAAUUUAUCUAAGAGAAAUAAAUAAAUUAAUUUAAUCGCAGAAUAAAUUAAUUAAAUUCAUUAUUUUUUAUAAAUUAUAAACAAUUAGUGAUUGUAUAUAAUAUUUAAUUACAAUAUAAUUUUAUUUUAUAAUUUGAAAUAUUAAUAUAUUUUAUAUAUAUAUAUANNNNNNNNNNNNNNNNNNNNNNNNNNNNNNNNNNNNNNNNNNNNNNNNNNNNNNNNNNNNNNNNNNNNNNNNNNNNNNNNNNNNNNNNNNNNNNNNNNNNNNNNNNNNNNNNNNNNNNNNNNNNNNNNNNNNNNNNNNNNNNNNNNNNNNNNNNNNNNNNNNNNNNNNNNNNNNNNNNNNNNNNNNNNNNNNNNNNNNNNNNNNNNNNNNNNNNNNNNNNNNNNNNNNNNNNNNNNNNNNNNNNNNNNNNNNNNNNNNNNNNNNNNNNNNNNNNNNNNNNNNNNNNNNNNNNNNNNNNNNNNNNNNNNNNNNNNNNNNNNNNNNNNNNNNNNNNNNNNNNNNNNNNNNNNNNNNNNNNNNNNNNNNNNNNNNNNNNNNNNNNNNNNNNNNNNNNNNNNNNNNNNNNNNNNNNNNNNNNNNNNNNNNNNNNNNNNNNNNNNNNNNNNNNNNNNNNNNNNNNNNNNNNNNNNNNNNNNNNNNNNNNNNNNNNNNNNNNNNNNNNNNNNNNNNNNNNNNNNNNNNNNNNNNNNNNNNNNNNNNNNNNNNNNNNNNNNNNNNNNNNNNNNNNNNNNNNNNNNNNNNNNNNNNNNNNNNNNNNNNNNNNNNNNNNNNNNNNNNNNNNNNNNNNNNNNNNNNNNNNNNNNNNNNNNNNNNNNNNNNNNNNNNNNNNNNNNNNNNNNNNNNNNNNNNNNNNNNNNNNNNNNNNNNNNNNNNNNNNNNNNNNNNNNNNNNNNNNNNNNNNNNNNNNNNNNNNNNNNNNNNNNNNNNNNNNNNNNNNNNNNNNNNNNNNNNNNNNNNUUAAUAUUAAAGGAAUGCAUAUAAAAAAAUUUAGAAUUAUAAUGCUAUUAAAUCCAUCGCUUCAUUGAAUUAAUUAUUUAAUUUAUUUAUUUUUAAUAAAUUAUAAAUAAUUUACAUAAAAUAUUUAAAAUUAUUAUAUUAUUUUAAUAUUAAAUAUUAUAUAAAAAUAAUGAGUUGUUUAUAAUUUAUAAAAAAAUAAAAAAAUAAAUUAAUUUAAUUACAAAAUAAAAUAAUUAAAUUUAUUAUUUUUAAUAAAUUAUAAAUAAUUAUGUGAUUGCGUAUAAAUCACAGCAUAAUUUUAUUCUAUAAUUUUAAAUAGUAAUCCAAUAAAAAAUAAAUUUAAUUUUUAUAAUUUUAAAUAUUUAUAUUAAUUAAUUAAUUUUUUUAAUUAAUUAUUUAAAUCAUAUCAUAAUUUUAUUCUAUAAUUUUAAAUACCAGUCUAAUAAAAAAUAAAUUUAAUUUUUAUAAUUUUAAAUAUUUAUAUUAAUUAAUUAAAUUAUUUAUUUAUUUAUUUAUUAUUUAAUUGAGUACUGUUUUACAUAUAUUUAAUAACAGUAAAUAAAUUUAUAAUUAGUAUUAUUUAAUUAUAAUAUUAUUAUAAUAAUAUGUUAAAAUUAAUAAAAUAUAUUAUAGCAAUAUAUUAAAUUAAUAUAAUAUAAAAAUUUUAUUAUAAUACAUUAAUAAUUAAAAAAUAAAAAAAUUAAAUCAGUAUAUGGGUUUUUAGGGUUCGUUGUUAGGGUUUUUAGGUAAAUUCUCUCCUCUUCUUAAUGUGGUCGGCUGUUAUAUGGGUUUUUAGACUGAUUUUUAAUUAAAAUGUUCCAUAAAUAAACCAUCCAAGGGUCUCCCUAAAAGCUAAAGUUGCAAAAUUCACACAUUAUUUCUUUGGGUGGGCCAAAUUGGCUAAGGUGAGUAGCCCAUUCUACCACCUCUUCCUUUUCAAGUCUAACCCACUUAUUUUUUAGAUCUAAUUGAAAGUUAAAAUCCAUGGGAAAGCCUAAAGGGAAGGGAAAAUGUCAUUUUACCUCUAAUUUCAAUUUUCAUUAUUUUUAUUUUUUUAUUAUUUAAUUUUAUUUAUUAUUUUACUAUUUAAUUUAAUUUAUUUUUUAUACCAUAAAAAUACUUUUGGAGUUUUUAAAAUUAAUUUCAAAUGGAUCAAAAGUGAUGUGAUUUUUAUCUUUAGAUUUUCACUAUUUUAUAUAUUCAUAUACACAUAAUAUAAAAUGAGAGGUCUGUGAAUGAAAACAGAAAUAAAAACCAUAGAGGCUAAGAUUCAUUCUUAAUGGUACUAAACAUUGAUGCUAAACUUACUGCAAGGAUGUAAGGAUUAAAAACCUUACACCUGAAAUAAAAAUAAAAGAUAAUUAUAAGAAAAAUGUAAGAAUUAUAGAAAUUCUUCAGAAUUGUAGUCAAGUCUAAUGCAAACAACAUGGAAGAUCAAUUGAGAGAAGCAGCAAAUGUCUUCAUUUUAGGGCAAGAGUCCACAGAUAACUCUUCCAAGGAUGGCCAUUUCAAAGGUAUGUUAUCCAUGCAAAAAGCUUUAAGAUUGUAAAGCUUGUAUAACCUAAUGCUUAUUAAUUGAGAGAACACCACUUUGUCAAUCCUCUUUUCCUCUUCUUCCCUUUCUGCAACAAUUGCUUCUAGUUGAUCACAACAUUCUAAUUCAAGUUCUUUCAGCUGCUCUAGUCCUCGAGCAAUAGAAGUAGGAAAUAUAACUUUUAAUUUCUGGCACCCAUUAAUGCAUACGAUUUGUAGCUUGGGCAGAUGCAACAACUCAGUGGGGCCCUUCGAUAUGUUCUUCAUUCCUUUCUCUUCAAGAACUUGGAGUUGCUCGAAUUCUUGCUGUGGAUUGGGUAAAGUGAAAAUAUUCAACAAUUCUGGACAUCUAAAAAAGGUCAAGUAUUUGAGCUUCCUCAUGGACAAGGAAGUUCCAGGAGGUAGUUCACCAUUGCAUAAUGCUUUGAAGGUGUCCAAAUCCUCAAAACACAGUCCUUCCAGUUCCGGCAACAAAGCAUACCUUCCAAGAAACUCUUCAGCGUUGAUCAAGUAAGAGAAACUAGGACAAUUGACAAUCACUAGUGUUAGGCCCAGCCCUUUUUAAAAGAAAAAAAAAUAGGCCCAUAAAUAUAUUUUAUAUAAAAAGAAAAUUAUUUAAAAAAAAAAAAAAGAAAAAGUGGGCAUUAAAGCUCCGGUUUCGGGAAUGUCCCAAAACAUUCCCGAAACAGAGCAUUCGUCUUCUACCCCCAGAAAACAGAGCGAAAGCUCUGUUAUUUUUUUAAAAAAAAUAAUCUCCUCCUUAACUCAAAUCUCUUCCUCCUCAACUCAAUCAACCCAGAUCCUGUUUUAAACCUAUAUCCUGCGAAAAAAUUCAAUAAUUUCUUCUAGAGACUCCAAAAUUGGGUAGGUGAGUUUUAUCCCUUUUAUUCAAUUUUUAUAAUAUAAUUUAUUUUCUUUACCUUUUAAUAGUGAUUUUUGGUGAUUUGAGAAUAAAAAGGUAUAUAUUUUAGUUAGAUUUAAUUAAUGAGUUUUAAUAUUUAUUUUUGGGAUUAAUGAUUUUUAUAGGUUGAUUUAAAUAAUAUUUACAGCUUAUUGAGUAUUUUUGUUGAGUUGGGUACUUUUGGGAGGACUAACUAUGUUGAAAUACUGCCGAAAUUUUCUUAAAAAUAUAUAUAUAAAUAUAUUUAAAAUUUCAUAUUUUACGUUUUAUAUUAUUGUUCUAGAGCAUUUUUAUUAUUUAAUAUAUUAUUUUAUUUUUUUAUUUUUUUUUUAAAUUCUAGGAAAGGAUCCAGCUUCCAGGAUAGAUAAUAGGGGUCCUCCUGCGAUCUAGGUCUUUUGUCCCAAGUAUUCUGGUGAGUGGAUAAAUAUAUAACAUUGAUAUUUUUUUUAAAAUAUAUUUAUAUGUGAAUAUGUUAUUUUGUUUAUUUAAGUUGGGAAAGGAUAAUGAUAAUUUAUAUUUCUUGAAUAAAUGAAAAUUGAAUUUAAAGCACAGCUGAAUAAAUAGCCGAUUACACUCUGUAUAUGCACCGAACAGAUAACACCUUGAUGACAGGUGAUUUAUUUUCAGCAUGAUAUAUAUAUAUAUACUGUCUUUGGGACGGCGCUUGAUAUACAGAUAGCCUUUGGGGCGUAUGUCAGGUGGUCACCCUUUGGGGGUAGCUCUGCACAUGUGUAUGACCAGUAUUUUAUUUGCUCUUGGGCCAAACUUGUCAUUAUAGAGCCUAAGAUGCCAGCAUUGCUCUCAGGCUGUUAUUAUUUUAUUAUACCUGAGAUGCCAGCAUUAUCUGCAGGGAACAUAUUAUUAGUGUAUGCGGAUUCUAUUUUUCACAGUUUAUUUUAUGUUGAUGAAAUUAAAUUGUAUUUAUUCAGCUGACUUAUUUUAGCUAAAUAUUUGGUACUAUUAAGUACCUAAACUUAUCUUUUCCCCUUUGUUAUUUAUUUAUCCGCUCACUGAGUAGUUGUACUCACCCUUAUAUUUAUUUUAAUAUUACAGUUUCUUUUUGGUGAUCCGCUCAGCAGUCCUCAUUUCCUAGUUUAUCCUCCUUUCCACAUCGUCCACUCAGAGUUUAGAGGAGGUCGGACCAAUCUUAAGUCUUUUGUUAUUUCUUUUUUUGUAAUUUUGUUAGAUCAUGUAUAGAUUGUACAGCCCCAAUGAAGAAGGUUUUGGGUUAUUGUAAAUAUUUUAUGAAUUGACAGGUCCAACUAUCAGUUUUCUCUUAUAUGUUUUAUAUUUUGAAAUUAUAGCAGGUUACAUGUUUUUAUAUGUAUAAAUAUCAGGGGAAGUUCUGUCAGUUUUCCUGGUCAUAUCCAUCUCUAUAGUUUUGGGUUGGGUGUGACAAUUUUUGGUAUCAGAGCUUAGGUUAUAGAUUCUGUAGACUUUCUUCGAGUCAGUAUAGUAAUAGAAGUCGGGGCCGUAGUGUUCGUACAGCUAGAUUAGUUGAUAUUGGUCGACCUCAUAGGGAUCCUACAGUUACACCUCCACCUCUAGAAGGGGUGGCAGAUCAUGUUUUACUUGAGAGCGGAGAAGGGCAUGAAGAUUCUGCUUCUCAUGGUGUUGAAUCAAGAACAUACUCGACCACAGCCUAGUCAGAGCUCAGUAGCACAACCAGUGGGUAGUUCCUUUGGGGCACAGAAAAGUGGGCAAGGAUAUAAUUCUGGGUUUGAACAAAGGAAGAGACAUUUUCCUCAAUGUGCCACCUGUGGUAAAUAUCAUGCUGGGAAGUGCAGAAAAUUCGAUAGGGGUUGUUUUGAAUGUGGUUCUUCGGGCCAUUUUAAGAGAGAUUGUCCAUUGCUGAUAGCCAGAGACAGUGGUUCUCAGCAAGGAUCAGUGGCGCCUCAGAAUCUAAGGCAUGGUGUGACACCAUCACAGGGUGUGCCUACAGCACAAGUUGGGCCUGGCACAAGCAGAGCCAGUGGAGGUACUUCAUCUUCUCAGUCUAGACCAAUGAUGCAACCUGACAGACCUCGCACUCAGGCCAGAGUUUUUGCUGUGACACAGCCAGAGUUUUUGCUGUGACACAGCAGGAGGCACGAGCAUCUCCAAAGGUGGUGACUGGUAUGUUAACUAUUUUCGAUAAAGAUGCACACAUUCUUAUAGAUCCUAGUUCCACCCACUCUUUCGUAUCUCAAUCCUUCUCUAGGCAUGCUGAUAGAGAAUUAAAACCUUUAGACGGUGGAUUAGCUGUGAGUACUCCAGUUGGGGAUUCUGUAGUAUGUGAACAUGUGUAUAGGGAUUGUGUUGUUAAGUUGGGCGACCAUGAGUUGUUAGUGGAUCUGAUUCCUUUGUGUCUACAAGAUCUGGAUGUUAUCCUAGGUGUGGACUGGUUAUCUCGUCAUCAUGCCACAAUAGAUUGCUUCGAGAAAUCAGUGGUAUUUAAUAGUCCAGAAGGGUGUAAGUUCACUUUCUUUGGGGAGAGGCGUUUACUUCCUUCUUAUGUGAUUUCUGCCAUGACUACUAGAAAGUUGCUUCGGAAGGGUUGUCAAGCAUACUUAGCCUAUGUGAUGGACAGUAGUCGGGAAGGACCUAAAUUGGAAGAUAUACCAGUAGUAAGCGAAUUUCCUGAUGUAUUUCCUGAAGAGCUUCCUGGGUUGCCUCCAGAUAGAGAGAUUGAAUUCUCUAUUGAUUUAAUCCAGGUACAGCUCCUAUUUCUAUGGCACCAUACAGAAUGGCUCCAGCAGAAUUGAAGGAGUUAAAAGCACAAUUGCAGGAGCUACUUGAUAAAGGUUUCAUAAGACCCAGUGUUUCACCUUGGGGAGCCCCUGUGCUAUUUGUGAAGAAGAAGGAUGGUUCCUUAAGGUUGUGUAUUGACUACAGACAAUUGAAUCGAGUCACAGUGCGAAAUAAGUAUCCUUUACCCCGCAUUGAUGAUCUUUUUGAUCAGCUCCAAGGUGCUAAAGUAUUCUCUAAGAUUGAUUUGCGGUCUGGGUAUCACCAAUUGAAGAUCAAGGAGUUUGAAAUACCCAAGACAGCCUUCAGAACUCGUUACGGGCAUUAUGAGUUCCUCGUUAUGCCUUUCGGAUUAACUAAUGCACCCGCUGCUUUUAUGGAUCUCAUGAAUAGGGUGUUCAAGCCCUACUUGGAUAGCUUUGUUAUUGUGUUUAUUGAUGACAUUUUAGUAUAUUCCCGUAGCAAGGAAGAGCAUGAGAAGCAUUUACGGAUAGUACUACAGAUUUUGAAAGAUAAACAACUAUAUGCUAAAUUGAGCAAAUGUGAGUUCUGGCUUGAUCGGGUGAUUUUCUUAGGACAUGUUAUCUUAGCAGAUGGAGUUUUGGUUGAUCCUAAGAAGAUUGAAGCAGUAGUCAAUUGGGAUCCUCCGACUAAUGUUACAGAGGUUAGAAGUUUUCUGGGUUUAGCAGGGUAUUAUUGUCGCUUUGUUCAGGAUUUCUCCAUCAUUGCAGCACCAUUGACUAAACUCCUUCGAAAGAAUGCAAAGUUUGAAUGGACAUAUGAAUGUCAAGAGAGUUUUGAGAAGCUUAAAACUUGUCUCACAUCAGCUCCAGUUCUUACCUUACCCUCAGGUACAGAUGGAUUUGUGGUGUAUAGUGAUGCUUCUCACAAGGGUUUAGGCUGUGUACUCAUGCAACAUGGGAAGGUGAUAGCUUAUGCUUCUAGACAGCUUAGACCAAAUGAAUUAAAUUAUCCCACCCAUGAUCUGGAAUUAGCUGCAGUUGUGUUUGCAUUAAAGACAUGGAGGCAUUAUCUUUAUGGCGUGACUUGCCAGAUUUUUACAAAUCGUAAGAGUUUGAAGAAUCUUCUCACACAGAAGGAGUUGAAUUUAAGGCAGAGACGGUGGAUUGAGUUACUUAAGGACUACGACUGUACUAUUGAAUAUCAUCCAGGUAAAGCUAAUGUGGUAGCUGAUGCCCUUAGUCGCAAGUCCUUUAGUAAUUUGGCCUAUUUCAAAACAGUUCGGCUUCCUUUAUUACUAGAGAUCAGAUCCUUAAGGGUAGAACUAGCAGUGGAUGAUGUAGGAGCAUUGUUAGCAACUCUCAAAGUUCGACCAGUGUUGAUAGAAAGAGUCAGAGAAGCCCAAAAUCAAGAUGAGCAGUUGAGUAAGAUCAGUAAUGAAGUAAGAGAUGGCACACGUACCGACUUUUCUCUAAGGGAGGAUGGAACUUUAAUGUUUGGUGAUAGACUAUGUGUACCCAGAGUGGAAAGCUUGAAGAGAGAGAUUAUGGAGGAAGCCCAUUGUUUUGCUUACUCUAUGCAUCCAGGCAGUACAAAAAUGUACAGAGAUCUUAGAGAAAACUAUUGGUGGCCAGGUAUGAAGAAAGAAAUAGCUGACUUCGUGUCUACAUGUUUAGUUUGCCAACAGAUUAAAGCAGAACAUCAACAUCCAACAGGG